This 68108-nucleotide long non-coding RNA is filed under the name Setaria italica (foxtail millet). Its description in RNAcentral is "long non-coding RNA (SITA_LNC003510)". The record is from RNAcentral. Lineage: Eukaryota; Viridiplantae; Streptophyta; Magnoliopsida; Poales; Poaceae.
CUCGAUAACAACUUAUUAGAAGGAAGCAUACCUCAAUCUCUGAAGAACAUAAAAGGUCUUGCAUUACUGAACCUAACAAUGAAUAAGCUAUCUGGUAGUAUUCCUGAUGCCCUUGCUAGCAUUGGCCACCUGCAACAACUGUAUCUUGCACACAACAACUUGUCAGGUUCCAUCCCCAAAGUUCUACAGAAUUUGACAUUGUUGGCAAAACUGGAUUUGUCCUUCAAUGAUCUGCAAGGCGAAGUGCCAAAAGGGGGUCCUUUUGCAAAUGCAACUCACUUGUCAAUUGAUGGAAAUGAUGAGCUUUGUGGCGGAAACCCUCAACUUCAUUUAGCUCCGUGCUCCACAGCAGCUGCGGGGAAGAACAGAAGGCGAAUGUCAAGAUCACUUAUGGUCACCGUAGCGUCAAUCUGCGCACUUCUAUUCUUAGGUUUAGUAGUUUGUCUUAUCCAUUUGAUCCACAAGAGGCUCAGACAAGGAAAGGAAAAUCAACUCAUUCCCACAGCAAUUGAUGAACAGCACGAAAGGGUUUCAUAUCAAGCAUUAGCAAAUGGGACUGACCAUUUUUCGCAGGUUAAUCUGCUCGGACAAGGAAGCUAUGGUGCAGUUUAUAAGUGCACUUUACAAGACAAGGGAAUUACCGCAGCUGUAAAGGUAUUCAACGUGUGGCAAUCUGGGUCUACUAGAAGUUUUGUGGCUGAAUGUGAGGCACUGCGAAGGGUGCGCCACCGAUGUCUCAUAAAGAUCAUCACCUGUUGCUUAAGCAUUGAUCACCAAGGCCAAGAAUUCAAGGCACUGGUUUUUGAGUUCAUGCCCAAUGGUAACCUAAAUGGUUGGCUGCAUCCAGCAUCCAAAAUACAGAGUCUGAGCAAUACGCUCAGCUUAGCUCAGAGACUGGACAUUGCGGUAGAUAUCAUGGAUGCUUUGGAUUAUCUUCACAAUCAGUGUCAACCGCCUAUUAUCCAUUGUGAUCUCAAACCAAGUAACAUCCUCCUUGCCGAAAGUAUGAGUGCUCGGGUUGGAGAUUUCGGCAUAUCAAAAAUCCUUCCUGAUGACACUAGCAAAACUAUGCUGAAUUCGGUUAGCUUCACUGGACUAAGAGGUUCCAUUGGAUACGUCGCUCCAGGUAACAGAAACUAACACUGAUAUUGCUAUGUUCAGUUUUUAACUUCCAUUUUGCCAAGUCCAGUUAUCUCGGCAUGAAUCGUUCGUAAGUAGCUUGCCAUGAAUCCACUGACCAAAUAGUUUCUGAAAUCUGAAUUGACUGCAGAGUACGGCGAGGGUCGCGCCGUCUCAACUCUUGGAGAUGUUUACAGCCUCGGCAUACUGUUGCUUGAGAUGUUCACCGGGAUGAGCCCUACUGACGACAUGUUCAAAGGCUCCUUGGACCUUCAUAAGUUCGCCGAGGCCGCUCUCCCCGACAGAGCCUUGAAGGUAGCCGACCCGGCAAUCUGGCUUCAUGAAGAAGCAAAGGGGGAAGACCCGGCCACGGUGAGAAGCAGAAGCGAGAGGUGCUUGGCUUCAGUGGUCGGGCUUGGCGUGUCCUGCUCAAAGCAGCUGCCAAGGGAGCGGACGGCGAUGCGGGAUGCUGCCGCUGAGAUGCGUGCGAUCAGAGAUGCCUUCCUGGUUCAAUGUGCAACAGAGACUUGGCCUGCAGUCGGCACCAGCGGCCUUGGAAGCACAGACACUUGAAUGGUGGACGGAGCUACGGUCUCUUGACGCACCAAGGAGCCACCGGACUAGCUGCUCUGCAACUAACAGGGUGGAGAAAGCGCCCCUUAAUGAAAAGAAAAACAGCCGGUGCAAGGCUUUAUACAAAGAAUGUGACAGCCACUGCGUGUAUCCGAGAGCCUUAUCUAAUCUACCGAGGAUUGUUAUGUAUGGAUGCGUAUAGAUUAUGCACGGACUCCUCCGUCCCAAAAUAAACGCACAUCUUGCUUCUUGAGGAGUCAAACUUCUAAGUUUGACUAAAAUUUAUAAAAAAAAUGUACUACUAUUUAUAAUGUAUAAUAAAUAUCAUUAGAUUGAGCAUUGGGUAUACUUUCUUAAUACAUUUAUUUGAAGAUGUAAAUGUUGAUACUAUUUUUUAUAUUCUUAGUCAAAUUUAAAAAUAUUUGACUCAUCGAGAAGCGAGAUGUGUGUUUAUUUUGGGACGAAAGGAGUACCCGUCACCGGGAUUAGUCAUGAUAUAAGAUUAGUCACGAUAUAAGUAGGGAUUAGCAAGCACCAAAACCCCAUUCACUGCCCAUCGAUCGCUCAAAUAAAAGAAACCAUUGCAUAUGGUGGCGAUGCGCUCGCGGGCCUUUCUCCAACCUUUCUGCUCUCGCGGGUCUUGAACUUGCAUGGAACAGUUUUAGUAAAGCUGCCUCCAACUUUAGGGAGAUUGCCAAGGUUCAUUUACCUGUCCUUAAGUGGCAAUAAGUUAGGAUCGAAUGAUAAGGACGGAUUGGAAUUCAUCACCAUGCUGGCAAACUUCAGCCAGCUUCAUCAACUGGCUUUUGACAAUAAUUCAUUCAUCGGCGAACUUCCUAGCUCAAUUGCAAAUCUAUCGACAACACACCAAUUACUCUAUAUACGAUACAAUUGGAUUUCGGGAUUUAUUCCAUCCAGCAUAGGUAAUUUGCUUGGUCUAGAACUGCUUACGUUGGCAAAUACUUUCAUAUCCGGAAUGAUUGUAGAUAGCAUUGGUCGCCUAGAAGACAUGUCCGUGUUAGGCAUUUACUACGCUAGCUUGUCAGGUAUCAUACCUUCAUCACAAGGAAAGCUUACACAGUUGAAAACUCUCUAUGCGUACGAUAGCAACUUGGAGGGUUCAUUUCCAGCAAGCUGGGGGAACUUAAAGAAUCUUUUUGUUCUUAAUCUCUCAACGAAAGUGCGUAACCCGCUAAAGUUUCAUGUCAAAGCAGAGCAUAAAUCUCUCUCAAAACUGCAAAACUAUCAUAAAGCAGAUCAGUCUGAGGGCUAGCCUAUGCCCUAUCAACGCCUCCCUUCUUGCCCUUUUGGUAAGAUUACCCCAAACUAGAGUCUAUAAUUAAUUAGCUAAGACUAGAGCCACGUAGUUCUUGUGGUUGUACUGUUUUCCUGAGUGGUCGCUCCAUGUUCCAAUUAAGCAUGAUGAUCUUGUAUUAAUAAAAGGUAUAUCAUAAAUAAAACAAGUUUAAUCAUUGAGUUCAUUAAAACCAUCACAAUCCAAGGUAUUGCAACUAAGCAUAUCUACCUUAAAAAAAGGUAAAACCCAGGUUGACAAGGAAUGAUCAUAAAAACUAGGUAAACCUUAAUAGGACCUAUCAAUAUUAAAUGUAGAGCAAUGCAAAAGUGAUUAAAUAUAGUUUUUGGGAUAAAAGUAUAAGGACACACGUGCCUUUCUCCAAAGAAUAGCUGCUCAGAUUAUCUUCCGCUCUUGUUCCUCAAAGCUCUCGAACAAUGUUCCUUCUACUUGCAUCAAUCAUCGGCACAAGCAUACCAAGCAAACAACAAUCACAACUAAGAACAAUACAUCAAUCAUUGGAAAGCUUUAAAAGAGCGUACUAAAGGAUAAGGCUUGAAUCUAAGGUCACGCGAAUGCAAGAAACGCUGGGAACAAAACUAUGGUUGAAAAGACAAAGUUAUCGAGAGAUUUGAAUUAUAAAAGAAAGAGAAAAGCAUAUGUGCUUCAUAUAUUUUAAUAAAACAAUGUAAAGAUAUUUUAGAGAAACAUCCUUAGCAUGUUAUAGUUAUGUAUGAAAAGACAAUGUAGAACUUAGUCAAAUUUUAUUAUAAACAUUCAAGUACAAUUUAUGCAAAUUAAAAAUUUAAUUUGAAAAUAAAGUAUAUGUAAACAUCUAAGCGCAUAGCUUUAUGAUUUAGGUUGAACUAACCAAAUAUAAUUAAAAACACAUUUAUAUUUAUAUUAAAUCAAAUUAACAUAUAAUUAUGAAAACUCGAGAUAUAAAUUAUGUAGCUUUUAUUUAGAAAACAAAUUGAAUAAACAUUUUAAUUAAAGAAGACAUGUUUAACAUGCAUUAAUUAGAUUAAUAUUAAAUUUAUUUUAAAAACAUGCAUGAUGGAAAGAUCGGCACUAACGUGUAAUUUGUGAUUCAGGUUGAACUAACCAAAUAUAAUUCAAAAACACAUUUAUAUUUAUAUUAGUCAAAUUAACAUAUAAUUAUGAAAACCCAAGAUGUAACUUAUGUAGCUUUUAUUUAGAAAACAAAUUGAAUAAACAUUAAUCAAUUUAAGUUUAAUUAUGAACCACCGUGGUGCAUCUCUAAUUCGCUUUUAAUUGAAAGAGUUAUUUAAAUAAGCAUUAAUAACUAAAUUAACAUUUAUUAUGAAAAGCGGUUAUAACACUAAGUAGCUUUUAAUUAAGGAAGACAUGUUUAACAUGCAUUAAUUAGAUUAAUAUUAAAUUUAUUUUAAAACAUGCAUGAUGGAAAGAUCACUACUAACAUGUCCUAAGAAUGGAUAUAAACGGAGCUGUAAUGAGGAGUCCAUGGGUUAAACAAGGUUGCAGGGCCUAAUCGCGAUUAACGGAAGGUUAUUGGGGCUAGCAAGGAAGAUUUGCAAGACACUGGAAUAGAGCUCACCAUUAGGUCAAAGCAUAGGGUUAGAUAUGUUAAAGUGCUCAGGUUAGACUUGGUUGCACGGAUCCAAUCUAAUCAGGGACAUGGAUGAAAAAAAACAAGACACAAGGAAAAACUAACUAUUUGUAGAGCUUUAUAGGGGCCUAUGCGCAAAAGCACCACAGCUCAGCAUCCAUGGUGGACGGGCUCCUGGAUGGCAAAACCCUCGUGUCAGAUUUAUAAGCCUGGUAGUCCACCAAGGGAUUCCCCAAGUGGUUGAUUUGUAGAUGAGGGUGAUUGUGAAACCAAGAACUCGAAGGUGGUCGCGAGAACACGAAGGGACACUUAGACAAGUUCGGACCUUCGGAGAGUAAUACCCUACGUCCUAUAUGCUGGUUUGUAUUGCUUGAGAUUGAUCUAAUUGUUGCGAUACCCUCGGGGGUGCCCUUGGCCGCCUUAUAUAGGCUGACGAUCAAGAGUUAAAAGUCGGUUUGAAUCUAAUCUACUCGGUAGUUACAUGGAAAGUAAUCUGAGUUGGACUACAAUAUGUGUUCCAUGAUAUCUGGGCAGAUUUGAACUAUCUUAUUGCCUUGACUUGCACUCCAAGUAACUUUAUGUCCUCGGCCCGCACGCUCUGAUCGGGCAGGCCCUACUUGUUAGUCCGACCAGUAUCCUGGCCGGUCAGGGCCCAUGGGGUACCCAUAUCCCUUAAGGCCCCAAGCAUUGUGUAGGCAAACAGGAACUUGAUGUCAUCAAAGUGAAACUUGGAAUGAAAUCGGGUGAAGCUGACGAAGAGCCAACGCGUAGAGCGAGGAUGAGUGCCGAGUUGAUGGAUGCUGGCAUCCAGCAGGUCGAAGCGAAGGUUACGGAGGGCGUCGCAAGACGCACUCUGUAGGAGUAGCCCCGGAGCAUUGAAACAAUUAAGAUAAUCAAUACAAUGGUCAAAGAGGAAAAAAUUGUCCCCUGAAGUAGAUCCUUGUGCCCGAACACAAGGAUGGACGCAGCCACGGAGGCCCGCCAACCAGAAGUAGGCACCUAGACUCAAGGACGAGGACUGGUGGGACUGUGGAGCCAUGCCGACCUGAAAUAGGCAUCUAACCCCUGAGGACGAGGACUAGCAGAGCCGCAGAGGCAUGCUAACCUGAAAUAGGUGCCUAGCCCCCGAGGAUGAGGACUGGCGGAGCCAUGAAGGCACGCCGACUUGAAAUAGGUGCCAAGCCCCCAAGGACGAGGACCAGCAGAGCCACGAAGGCACUCUGACCAGAAUUAGGCGUCCAGCCCCCGGGCAUGAGUGCGAGGAUUGGCGGAAGCACAUCGAGUUGCCUCCCUUCCCGGGCUCAGGCAGAGAGGUUGGUCGGGUGACGAGAGGCACACCAAGUCAUCAAUGGUGCCCAGCCGCCGAGCCUAGGAGCCGGACGAGUUGCAAAAGCAUGGCAAGUCACCUCCCGCCCCGAGCCAGAGAGGUCGGCUGGGCGACGGGAGGCACGCCGAGUCAUCUACGGUGCCCAGCCCCCGAGCCUUGGAGCCGGCUGAGCCACAGAAGCACGCCAAGCCGCCUCCCGCCCUGAGCUAGAGAGGUCGUUUGGGUGACAAGAUGCACGCCGAGUCGUCUGCGGCGCCUAGCCCUCGAGCUUGGGAGCCAGACGAGCCACAGAAGCAUGCCAAGUCGCCUCCUGUCCCGUGCUAGAGAGGUCAGCCGGGUGAUGGGAGGCACGUCGAGUAGUUUUUGAGCUAUAAAAGAACAAUACAAUCAUUAUGUAGCAUAAUGUAGAUCAUUUAAUCAUUGAACAACUCGGAAGUUUAAUUCGCUGUAGAAGUAAACUCUUGCGCAUCCUGCUCUUAUAGGCCAAGUAAUUUCCCUAGGUAGUUAUCUUGUUACGUUUAAGCACCUAGCCCUACUGACCACUGUUCACGGAGAGGAUGGUUUAUCUUAGGCUAUAGUGCUGGGGCUGACCCGAUGCUCGCAUAUAGGAACGCGCAGGAUGAGUCAAGGUUUCACGGAUUAAGGCGUGUGCUACCCGAGUACUUUAGCAACCGUUAACAGGGAUGGACAAGUCGCAAAGCAACCGGAACUGUGCGGAAAAGCACCAGCAUGAGUUGGGCACCCAUGGGGUGUAGCCCCCGGCCGCCCGUGUAGUGGACGGAACAAAAGUCACGACAACAUGGAGGAGCCGAGGCUUAUGUAGGUAUAUGGAAGCUGUAAAAUAUUUUAUUGUAAAUAAUACUUAGCUUGAUUCGUGGUCGAGUCAAAGAACCCGCGUGUCAUCUUCGCGUUUAGUCUUAGAAGCCCCUGAGCGUGGUCGGCGGACAGUUGUUGGUGAAGCAAACUAGUCGGGCUCCAUGCCCAACUAAUUCGUGUCGAGUUCGAGUUGUUGGAGUUGUCAGCGGCAGGUUUGUGGUUGCGAUUGUGGUAUGCUGUUGCCAAGUCGAUGUGGCCAUCGGGUCGUGUCCGGCUGGCCGCUACGCUCACAGUACAGCAUGUCUGGGUUGUGCUGCCAAACCAAGGGUGCAUGUACAUCUUUUCGAACCUUGCAAGGAAGCCCUCACGUAUUAAGGAAAUCUAUACCUAAUAUUAAAGCUCCCGCAGCGUGCGCCUAUGCCACGUGUGGUGUGGACGGGUGUGCCGGCUGCGGCUGCGAGCUCCUCACUGCGGCAGGGACCAGGUCGAGCAGCGACAGUGAUGACGAAGGGGAGUAGUCCGCGUCUGCGUGCCAUGCCACCAUCGCCGGGCAAGGUGUGGCAGCGGCGGAGGGGGAGAGUGAGUACAUCGGCGUGCAGCGGCGGCCGUGGGGUAGGUGGGCGGCGGAGAUCCGCGACCCGCACUACGCCGUGCGCAAGUGGCUCGGCACCUUUGACACAGCUAAGGAUGCCACGCGCACCUACAACAUCACCGAUGUCGAGUUUUGAGGCCACUGCACCAAGAUCAACUUCCCCGACAACACGGCCCCCGCGCCCGCACCUUCCUGGGUGCCAAACUCGACAUACCACCACCACGACCACUUGCCGCUGCCGCUGCCCGAGAGCCUACACGAGACCUGCGGGGCGAACGCAUCCUCGUCGAUGGAUGUGGCUCUUGCGGUAGCGGCGUCGGCCGAGCAGCACGGCACGAGGCCGGUGCCGAAGGAGCAGGACAUCUGGGACAGGCUGAACGAGUUCAUGAUGAUGGAUGACGGUAGCUUUUGGUCACCCAUGCUAUGAUCAUCACAUUCUCCUCCAUUCUCCUCUUGUUUUCACUUUCGUUGCUUAGCGGAUAAUGGUGGUCAGCUGGCCUCUGGUCUGUCGUCAAUCGCCAGCCAUCCAUCGCUUUUAUAUGGUUUUGCACUAGCUUUUGGGCUUUGACCACACCCUCCACACCCAUACGAAAUGACUAGGUAGAGUGAUGUUGAUAUACUGCUUGCCGCGCGCUAGGGCGAGCAGCUACUCACUCGGGCUAGAUGCCCUACCCGCCACCUGGACCUAAGAGGUGAAGGAGAGAGGAGGGAGGGGGAAGGAAACAAGGAGCCGAGUGCCUCUUUGCAGUCAACCAAGUAGAGCCAUAUGCCAGCGAAGGCAUGGCGCCAGCGAGGGGGGGGGGCGCAGCGGCAGUCGGUAGGCAACACAAACAGGGGGCGGAGGUCGGGACCUCACAUCCCCCUCUCAAUGAUGUCCAUCCCCUUCAUAUCCAGAACUAAAGCCUCCACAUCUAGCAAUUGGGGGCUCGAUUUUGCACUUGAUUGGAACGAUUUGGAGUGGAUUAUAGAAGGGAAGUGGAUGGAAACGAGAAGAAGAGGAAAACACACUCCUGCUCAUGGCGGCCAGAGGCGCGGUGGCCUAGGUCUCGAAGCAGGAAUGAGGCUAGGCACGGGAAGGACGAGCGUUUGCCUAGGCGACGGUGAGGAUGGCAAGAUGCGUAGCGCCUGGAUGAUGGCGAAGAUAGGGCAUGAUGCGGGUGGCGCCGACGGACGAAGUGGCAUCGACUAGCUAGAUGACGAUGAGUACGGGGGAAAUCGAAUGAAUGGAUAGAGCGGAGGUUGAGCGGUGAUUUUUUUUUAUUUCCAUGUGUGGGUCCCAUGUAAUAAACAGAUGGCAUCAAACCACCCACAAAUAUCUUCUACUACUGUACUGGGAUAACGCAUCAACAUAUGGUGAAGCGAAAUCAACAUAUUAGGAACAAGCAAAUAAUAAUGUGAGAGUAAGUAAGGACUUGUAGCAACGUACAUGUAUUUCUGCUAGUAAGAAAAAAAAUUGUUAGCUGCCGUAGUAAGCACCAAGCAACGUAGGAGAUCUACUGGAUGGAAUAGAUUAAAUAAUAAAGGGAAGGGAGAAUUGUUCCUUUUUUUUGGCAGAUCCGACGUGUCUGCAUGCAACAAGUUGAGGUCGACGUGUUGUGCUAAAUCAACCGGAUCAGACUGGGGCCGGAUCAGGCGAGCUUGGCUGUGGCCGGGAUGAGGCCAAUAAGGGCGUCGCCCUUGACCUUGGCCUCCUGUGCCUCGCGGAUCUUCUACAUCUGGAGCAUCUGCUCCAUGAUGAGCUCGUAGUGGCACUUCUUGUAGGCGUGGCGCUCGGGCUCGCACUUCCAGCGGAGGUAGAACUCGGAGGUGCACGCACUGGUCGUGGUAGGCGAGCGGCACCAAGGCCUCCGCCAUCUCCACCUGCGUGAUGAUCUGGGGCUUCGUGGAGUCGAACUGAAUGCCGGCCAUUGCCGCCGCCUCCAUCUGUCACUUUCUUGCCCUCUCUCUUGCCGGCGAGGUCGUUCCGUUGAUAGAUGGGUGCUGCGGGUUUGGUGCGGCGUGGGUGGGUGGUGUGCAGCAAGGACGUGAGGAACCCUCUCGGAGAGAGAGAUUGCUUACCUACUAGGUAAACGGUGUGAUGAUCCUUUGAUAUAGACCUUGCUCCGCCGGAGUAAAUUCGACAGAUGCCAAGCUGGCGGCGGGCAUUGAGUCGAAGUCCACCGGCAUGCUCCUGAAGUGGAGCUGGAUCGGAUUGGCGAGGAAGUCCUUCAUGCUCUUGGGGAAAACAAUGUCGGGGCGGGAUGCCAUCGAGCUCGCUAGGGAGGAUCUUACAAUCAUCCCUACCUAGCGCGCCAACUGUUGGAUUUAUAAGCCCGGUAGUCCACCAGGGGGUUACCCAAGUAGUUGAUUUGUAGGUGAGGGCAAUUGCAAAAUCAAGAACUCGAAGGUGAUCGCGAAAACACGAAGGGACACGAAGGUUUUAGAUAGGUUCGGGCCUCCGGAGAGUAAUACCCUAUGUCCUGUAUGCUGAUUUGUAUUGCUUGAGAUUGAUAUGAUUGUUGGGAUACCCUCGGGGGUGCCCUUGGCCGCUUUAUAUAGGCUGACGACCAAGAGUUACAAGUCGGUUUGAAUCUAAUCUACUCGGUAGUUACAUGGAAAGUAAUAUGAGUCAGACUACAAUACGCGUUCCAUGAUAUCCAGGCAGAUUUGAAUUGUCUUGUUGCUUUGACGUGCACUCCAAGUAACUUCAUGUCCUCGACCCGCACGCCUUGGUCGGGUCGGCCCUACUUGUCAGGUCUGACCAGUAUCUUGAGGUACCCAUAUCUCUCACCUUGGUGCUCCGGCGAUUAGGGUCAGUGGCGAGGAUGGGGAUUGGAAGAGGAGAUCGAGGGGACUUUAUGGAGAUGCUCACCGGCGACGAGGCGGACGGAUUCUGGCCAGUAUUUGGCUGGCGGUGGAAGAACACGACAGCUGGCUCAAGUCUUCGUGAGUGAUGGUACUCCGGCGGUGGAGCGACGACGACGACUGGUGGCAGAGCUGCUCCUCGAUGUCACGGAGCUCCCUAAGGCUCUAGCUUGCUCCGAUGGUCGACGAGCACAGCGAAUCGGCCAGAGAAGGACGGCAGUGGCUCCUAGCUCUGGCGGAUGUGGGGGAUGGCAGUGCUCGUGCAAGCUAGGAAGAGUGGCGGUGUGAGGCAGGGCAAUAGCAGGGGCACAAUCUCGACUUUUAUAUGUGCGUGGGUCCGCGCCUGCCUUGGCACGCAUGCCGAGGUUCGGCGGUGGCGAUGCCCAAGUGCAGCUACGCUUGGCCUCGACCCGCUGUUGGUCGAUGGGCCUAGCGGGCCUAGCCGAGCCAUCAACUGGGCCGGGUCAGUGCAGGUUAGUUGGAGAGGGUCGGGCCCCAAAGACUUGGCCCCAUCGAUUAGGAUUUUUCUUUUUUUCAGAAAUGAUUUCUCGUGAAAGAAAAAUCCAGAAAAAUUCUAGAUAAUUAAUUUAAACAAUGAAAAAACUCUAAAAAUCCAAAAAUUUCAGGAAAAAUCAUCUCUAGUUUGGGACAUGAGGAGUCCAAAUAAAAUACUUGGACCUCGUGAAAAGGAUUCUAGAACCUUCCAAAAAUUGGAUUUAGCUUUAGAAAAAAAUGAGAAUAAAUCUUAGAAAAAUCUGAAAAUUCUCAUAAGAACCUAAUCAGCAUCUAAACGCAUUCCAAAACCUUUGCACUUAUGAAAUACCAAGAUGCAUUGGUGUGAAUGCAACCCAUACACAAUCAUUAUAUUUAAUUCAGAAAAACACUCAAUUGUUUUCCUAUACUAAAUUUCCUCUUAAGAAAAUAAAUGUUGGAAAAAUUUUAAAAUUGUGAAAAAAUUAUUGUUUAAUUAUUCUUUUUAAUCAAAUCCUGAAAUUUCAAAAAUUUUAAGGUGAGGCAGAUACCCUCAGGUUUACAGAAUUUGACAUCCAUGUGCAAAUUGGAUCUAUCCUUCCAUGAUCUACAAGGUGAAGUGCCAAAAGUUUUUUUUUGGCAAAUGCAACUUACAUGUCGAUUUAUGGAAAUGAUCAGCUUUGUGGUGGAAAUACCUCAACUUCAUUUAACUCCAUGCUCCAUGUCCAGUGCAAAAAAGAAAAAAAAGGAAAUUUGUCGAAAACCCUUGUGAUCACCCUAACAUCAAUCGGUGCAGUUGUAUUCUCAGUUUCAGUACUUACUGUAAUUGUGUUGAUCUGUAAGAAGCUUAGGAAAAGGCACGAAAGUCAACUCAUAUCCACAACUGAGGAACGGUAUGAAAGAGUUUCUUAUCAUGCUUUGUCAAAUGGGACCAAUGGAUUUUCAGAGGACAAUUUACUUGGACAAGGAAGCUAUGGCAUGGUUUAUAAAUGUACUUUACAUGACCAGGGCACUACAGUAGGCUACUGUAAAGGUGUUUAACACACAACAAUCUGGGACUUCUAGAAGUUUUGUCGCUGAAUGCGAGGCACUCAGAAGGGUGCGUCCUCGUUGUCUCGUAAAGAUCAUCACUUGUUGCUCAAGCAUCAAUCACCAGGGUCAAGAGUUCAAGGCACUAGUUUUUGAGCUCAUGCCAAAUGGUAGCCUAAAUGGUUGGCUUCACCCAGAGUCUGACACACUUACCCAGACAAAUACCCUUAGCCUUGAACAAAGGCUACACAUUGCUGUCGAUAUCCUGGAUGCUUUGGACUAUCUUCAUAAUCACUGUCAGCCAUCAAUCAUUCAUUGCGAUCUCAAGCCAAGCAACAUCUUUCUUGCGGAGGACGUGAGUGAGUGCCCGAGUUGGAGGUUUUGGCAUACGAAGAAUCCUUCCAGAAAGUGCUAGUAAAACCCUGCAAAAUUCGAAUAGCACAACUGGAAUAAGAGGCACCAUUGGUUAUGUUGCACCAGGUAAUGAAAGAGAUAUUUUUGGUAUUUGUAAAAUGUUCUUAGUUCUUACGUAUACAUGACCUGCUGACCUUUGGAUUUUUUCCCCAAUCAGAGUACGGUGAAGGUUCUUCUGUCUCAACUCAAGGUGAUGUUUAUAGCCUCGGCAUAUUGCUGCUUGAGAUGUUUACUGGAAGGAACCCAACAGAUGAGAUAUUCAAUGAUUCUUUGGAUUUGCACAAGUUUUCAGAGAAUGCUCUUCCAGAGAGAAUAUGGGAUAUAGUUGAUCCGACAAUACGGAUGCACACAGAUGCCUAUAACAGCACUAUAAGAAGUGGAAUUAAGAAUUGCUUGGUUUAUGUUGUUUCUCUUGGAAUAUCAUGCUCGGAGAAACAACCUAGGGAGCGGAUCCCGAUUCUGGAUGCAGCCAUUGAGAUGCACGCUAUUAGAGAUUCGUAUCUCAAGUUUGCCAGAUCUCUUUUGGUGGAGCAUGGAGUAGUAGCAACAACUCACAGUGAUUUUCCACAACAGUGAAUACAUAGGACUGAAAAUGCGCAAGAUGUCUGCAGAUGAUCAGUUUACCUGAAAUAACUGAAGAUGUAUGAAGCUUCAGCUUUAUAAUUUGUCCAUGCAUUUGUUUGCAUCAGAUAUAUGGAAGUAUAAAAUAAGUUUAGAAAAUGUUUCAAAAUAGAUUAGAUCCAGAGGUUUUAGUUGUCGUUUGUAUGACACAUUUUUGUAGAGAAUUCAGUAAUAUGUAUGAUUCAUAAUACAAUCAAUGCUCUGCAAAUUUCAGAUAGCACAAUUGGAAUAAAAAGCUCAUUCCUUGAUUAUGUUUCUCUAGGUAACUCAACUUAUUGUGAUGUUCACUGUAGAUUUCUCCAUGGUCCAAACGACCUUUGUGAUCAGUUAUGUUUAUGCAUUUUGUAGAAUUGUAAAGUCUUUCCCUAACCUGCUGACAUAUUAGCCGGAGCAUAGCACUUUGCCGUUCUGUACCACUCGCCUCUAGGAGGCGCUUGCCGCUUGGUGGCUGCCGUGGCGACCGACGGCAUCCGUACCUGCUCUGUCGGAGAUGGGUGGAGCUGCUCUGCUCUGCCGGUACGAGCUCACUCGCGCCGUGAAUGGCGCGCGCCUCUAAGGUCUCAUCAGCUGCAGGUGCAGAUGGGUGGAGAGCUUAGCGGCGCUAGGUCUUCAGAAGAUGGGGCUUUGCAGCUCUGAAUGGUGAGGCGGGCAGGGACGACGGAGCUGGACGCGUGGGGAGGAGACGAUGGGCAUUUCUGAUAAUAGUUGGAUCGCGAUCCAAAUUAGGGGGCUAUUUACAAAUAAUAGGGGGUAUUCCGUAAAUAUUCGGAUCGCGAUCAUUAAUCGCGAUCCAAAUGAGGGGUUAAUUGAAAUUAUGAUGGGGUGUCUUUUGAAAUUCCGGAUCGCGAUCCCAUCCUCCGCCGCGGCUCGCCGGAGCGCCGCCAGACGCCGGCCAUCCCUUGGGGUACCUCUUCUUCCUUCCGCUUGUCGGAGCCCUAAGACGUGGUCGGUGUUUGAUCUGACAAGGAACCUUGAAGUCCGGACUAACUGAAGAAGACAGACAUGAUGCUGACCUGGAAGACGACGGCCUCGCCAUGGCUGGAUGCGGCGCGGUGGAAGGACAGUGUGGUGGAGGGCGUGGUCCACCACAUUCCGUCGACGGGCGGCGCACUUGCUGUCGCCUGUCGGCUACUUCCAGGCCGUAGCUGAGCUUCAGAGUUCAGACAGGGUGCUUGUGCUUGCAACAAGUUCAGAACGAUGUCAUUAAUUUGAUGCAGAGGAUGGAGCAAACCGGUUGCAAAUUGGAUUCUGAUACAUAUAACUUAAUAUUGAACCUUUAUGUCGAUUGGAAAUAUGAGAAGGGGUGCACCAAAUAUGGGAUGAGAUGGAGAGGAGUGGAUCAGGCCCAGAUCAACGAUCAUUUACUAUUAUGGUUCAUGGUCUUCAUUCCCAAGGAAAGCUUGAUGAGGCUCAACAAUGAAGUCAAGAGGGUUGAUCCCUGAACCAAGGACCAAGAUACUGGUGAAAGCUAUACAUAUGAAGAAAGAUGGGGCUGUCACAGAAGAUCAGUCUGCAAAUAUGACAGGGAAGAAUCUAAAACUGGAUCCACGAUCUAGACUAUUCCAUGUUCAUAAAUAGUUUGCUGUCAGAUCUUACUUCUAUAACCUGAACAGAGGAUUGCUGGGCACGUAUUAUGUGUCAAAAGAAUAUCUUCUACCAGUGUCCAGAUCACAAUGGCCACACCUUGGGCUACAAUAAAUCAUCAGCAAAGUGUAUUGGCAUUAUGUAUCCCAGAAAGUUUUGCUCAGACUUUCAAUGCCAGGGUAUGCUUUUUAUGUCUGAUACGGAUCAAUUGCCAGUACUGUAUUACACCGCUCGUAUUAUGAAGGUUAUGUGAAAUAUGACAGAUGUUUGUUUAUUCAUCUGUUAUGCAUGGCUGUGUCUACUGUCUAGUUCUUGGCUUGUUGCCAACAUAUGCAGCAGCAGGUAGCUUCAGCCGCUCAGAAGCCCAAAUGAAGGAUGGCCCAGGCAGAAUAGCUAUGUCUAGACCCAGAAAGCUUAGGACAUGUCUUGCCAGCCUGCAGUUUUGUACUCGUAGCACCAACCAUCUCCGGGUUCUGGCCGGUUAUAUACAUGAUCUGGAAUGGGCAUCCGCUGAUCGAUUGAAACCUUGAGUUGCUUCCGUGUGUCUUUUGCCAUCUAUAUAUUAUGGUUAGUCAACGGCAUGCAGUACACCCAUGCAUAUGAUUGCAGUAGGAUGACAUGGCGCGACCAGAACCCUUCUUUUGCCAGUUUUAGAUUCUUAUACACGGCCAACUGACGCAGCAGGGAGUGGCAUGCUAAGCAGUUCAGCGUAGGUGGUGUGUUCUUAACUCUGAUAUGGCUUAUGGAAGAACACUGUCACGGUGUCACUGUCCAACCUCUUACUAGGGACAGCAAUGGCCCUGUCCACUGUUUCGUGGCUGGUAUUAUUACCCCUAUGCAGUGAAUCUGACAUGUGGAUCUAUGUGUAUAUUAUGUCGUCAAAAGAACAUUAUUUGAACUCUAUUUGUGGCGCCACCUUUGAUUCUAUUAAUGUGUCAUGGUCAAUUGAUGUCAAACUCUAUUAUCUUCAAGUCUUAUUGUAUUGAUAAAAUCACGAUGCUGCUACUGCCAUUUUGAUGUUUAUAAAAGGGUAUUGAGAACCUGGUGGGUAUCCAUUCGAUGCGCAGGGGUGGGGGUGGGGAAAAAUGAGUGUAAAGGAUAGGGAUACAGUAUUUAGAAAGAUGGGGCUGCCACAGAAGAUAGUCUCCAAGUAUGGCAGGGAAGAAUCUAAAAACUGAUUCCUUGAUCAAGACUGUCCCAUAUUCAUAAAUAGUUCACUGACAGAUCUUGCUUGCAUAUUCUGAACAGCUGAUGCUGGGCACAUAGGAGGUUAACCGGUCAGCGGAUCGAAGGAAAAAAAAAUCUUGCCUGUCAGUGUCCACAAUGGCCUCAUCUUGGGUUAGAGACAAUCAUCCCUAAAGAAUCAUAUUGCCGGAUAAGGUUAUCUGUGAUUGGUGGGUGCAGAUCCAUGCUCAUCCUAGAAACAAGCCAGGGCUAAAUGCGCCACUCAUUUUAGAUGCUUGGAUGUUGUGGUCACACCGAAAUGAUCGUGUGUUUAAUGGAGUUUCCCAUAGUGACUAGCGUGCAGGCUGUCCUCGUAUUCGAGAAAAAAAAAAUCAAUGGGCGAAAUAUUUUCACCCAGGUAAUUGUUGCAUUGUAUGAAUAGGUUAGAGUAUGAAUGUGCGUGUACUGUGACACAAGAAGAUUUAUCAUAUCCAUAUAUGAAUUAGUGUUAAAUUUGCUACAUAAAUAUCUUCUCUUAUCUCAUUGUAUGUGUAUAUAUGACACAGAAGCACAUGUAUAUCGGCAUUGUAGAGAGAGAGAUGAGAGAGAGAAGCUUAUCUGCUUUUUGGAGAUAAAUAUUCAAAUUACUGGUGUAUGAGAGGGAUAUAAUUAUUCUAUUAAAUUGUUUAUUCAACAUCUAAAAAGAUUCCAAUGUUUAGUCAUCUAUAUAGGCAUUGUAGAGAGAGAGACUAGUGUUCAGCUGGUUGGAAGGAUGAGAGAGAGGAGAGAGUUCAGAUGAGAAAGAGACUAGUGUUUAGCUGGUUGGAAGGAUGAGAGAGAGAGAUAGAGUAGAGUUUGGAUGAUAGAGAGAUUAGUGUUCACCUGGUUGGAAGGAUGAGAGGGAGAUGAGAGAGUUCAGAUGAGGAGGUGGAGAGUUUGGAAGAGAGAGAGAGAGGUGAGAGUUUGGAUGAGAGAGAAAGCAGCUAAGAAGGAUGAGAGAGAGAAAGCGGUAUUCAGCUGGAUGGUGGAGACUUCAUAUAUUACUUAGCGUUGCUACGGCGAAACGACGUUGCUUAGCGCGCGAUGUUUUUAUCGUGUCGUGUAGCGCACCACAUUUUUUAUCGUGUUGUGUAACUUUUUUAUUUUAGUAGUAUUAGACUUUUCAUACAUAAGGGGCCACGUGAGUGUGUCCAUAUCCCAACCGUGCGGAGACCGCUUGUCAUUGAAUUUGUUAUCUCUUGCUCUAUCUUGUGAUUGGUAGGCUUCUACAGCAAUUCUGCACAAAGAAGGCCCCACUUCGCCCCACUCCUGACGUCCGGUUAUUCCCACGCCUGCCCUCUCCCUCUCCAAUCCUCACCGCCAGCUCCUCAGGGUCUAGGUCGGCCCGUGAUGUAGUGGCCUAUUAUCCUUCCACCGUUGGAAGCGAGCAGUGAUCGCUGCUCUGUGAACCUAGCCUCAAGCUGUUCCUACCACUUCAGGUCCAGUGAUGCCCGAGCUUUCGCUUGGCCCGAACAGGCCACUACCAACUUGGAACGGGCAAGGCCAGCAAGGGCACAGAAUAGACCCAAGCCCAGAGUCCGCGCCCAACCAUCCACACCACCUUAAUGCCCCCACUUGGGUUACAAGCCCGCGCAACCAAGCUCGGUGAGGAUGGCUCGUGAGGACGAACAUUUAAGCUGGUGCGUUGCUGCUUCAGAUGGCGAGGUGAUACUAAUAUAACGAAUAGGAAAAUUUCACGUGGGUCCCAUGCCGCACCCACCCCUAUCCUUAUCCUUUCUCAUCUCUCUACUGUCUGUCCGGUCCUUAUCCUCCUCAUCUCAUCUCUCUCUCUCAAUCCCUCUCUCUCAAACUCUCUAUCUCUCCUAUCCCCUCUUUCUCUGGAGAACGCGGUGCACGGCCAGCCCCAGCGGCGGCCUGGAGGCGCGAGGUGCCGCCGGCGGCCGAGGGUUGCGGGGCUGCGGCAAGGAGCCUCCUGGCUGUGGAUGCGACGGCCUAGCCACGGGUGCCGGGCCGCGUCACACCGCGCGCUGCUGCCGUCGAGCGGGCCGCACGCACUGCCCACACACCAGGCGGCGUGGGCGGCCAGGCUGAGCGGCGCGGCCGGGGCUGGGGAGGCGACUCUGGUGCGGCCGAGGUAGCUUGGGCACGGCCGGCUGUGGUGGGUAGGGAGAGGUGGACGGCGGCACAACGGCAGCGCGGAGAGGCGGACGUCAGGCACGAACGGGUGAAAGGGGAGACUGGGAAAGAAAGCUGGACCCACCUAUCAAUGCAGCCGGGGCCGGGGCAGCGCGGGCGGCUGAGGCCGAGGCCAGGCGGCGCGGUCGGGGCCAGGGAGGCGGCUCUGGUGCAGCCAGCCGUGGCUGGCAGGGAGAGGCGGACAACAGCGCAACGGCGGCAUGGAGAGGUGGACGUCAGGCACGGGUGGGUGAAAGGGGAGACGGGGAAAGAAAGCUAGACCCACCUGUCAAUGCGUUAAUCUUACCUAUUAUUAAACAUCAGGGCCACCUCUCAUUGAUAGAAGUUGGACCAAACCAAAAAAAAGUGGGCAGAAGUGUUCCUCACUUUAAUAGUAACAAUAAAGUAUAGAUAAUGCAUCCAAACAACAUUUGGAAUUUAAUUCUAAGAAAAACAAAAUAUGAUUCAUGGAAUGAGUUUCAACUCUAGGAAUCCAAACAGGCCUUAGUUAUUUCUUAUGUAGCUCAAAUCAGAUGCAAGGUACGUCCUAACUUAAAAAACGUAAGUUACUUUGUGUUAUCUUGUGAAUCAGUGAUUAAUUACUUCCAAUCUUAUGUAAAAAGAACUACGAGUUAAAUUCUUUGUCAGAUUUAUACUGACAAGUUACAAGCACAUACCUCUGCAGUAACAGGCGAGCCCUAGACUAGUGGGCAAACCAAAAACAACAUGAUUCGUCAACUGAUCGAAUGCUAAUGACUAUUUUGCUAGGAGAAUGAACAUGAUUCAUGAAAAAAAGGGAGCUACUAACUUGGUCAAGGUCUCCGUCCUCUAGCGUGGGGAAGGGGCCAUCUUGCUCCACGCCACGUCUGCGUGGUUGCUCGGCGGGCGCGACGGCGUCGGCUGCGGAGUGCGGACGGCGCGUAGAUAUGUCAUUGUUGAUCAGGACAUGCACUGCUAUCACCGUCUGUUAUUGGUCAAGGUCUCCGUCCUCUAGCGUGGGGAAGGGGCCAUCUUGCUCCACUCCACGUCUGCGUGGUUGCUCGGCAGGCGCGACGGCGUUGGCUGCGGAGUGCGGACGACGCGUAGAUAUGUCAUUGUUGAUCAGGACAUGCACUUCUAUCACCGUCUGUGGUUGGCGUCCGCGGCCGAGCGGGUCAAGGUCUCCGUCCUCUAGCGUGGGGAAACAGGAUCUCUUCAAUCAGUGCUUCUACAGAAACGGUGCACGGUCACCACGGACCAACGACAUACCAUGAGAAAAGCAGAGCGAAAUGUUGCAGUAGCAGAGUGACCGGAGACUGGAGAGCACUUGCUGCUAAAAGCUGCCUCUUAUUUUGUAUCGUCUUAACAGAAGACUUUAAGUCAACCGCCAUUCGAUUCCAAUAUAAACUAGCAAGUUGGCCCGCGAUAAUACUGCGGCUAGAUUUGAUACAGUAUAAUUUUUUUAAAUACUAUGUUAGCUUAGUAUAUUUCUUUGUCCCUCUUGAUUUGUUUUUCAUCCUCUUGAAAUCACUGAGUAUAGUUAGGUGCCUUACUCUACACAUUGAGUAUCAAGCCAUAUGUGUAUAUUUGUUUUUUUGCAAAUGAACUCCGAUGCCACAUGUGCAUAUGCACGCCUAAUUAAAAUUGCUCACUUGUAACAAAAUAAGAACAACUUGAGUAGUUGAUUCUGAUCUUAUGUUGAAGUUUUUGCCAACUUUUCCUAGUAUUGUUGUGUUGAGUAGAAAGCCUGUGUAGAGAAAGAUACAAAACAAACGAUCGUGUCAACUACUCCCCAUGCUUGCUCAAAUGAUUUUGAAAAAAAAAAACAACCGCGCUCUAAGUCCUAGGGCGGUGAUAUUCCUCCUUACUUUCCUCCUCUUGUUUUCCAUGCACAAUCGAGGAUGACAAAUACCACAAACCACUUAGGCUCGAUCAUGUUUCAUCAUCACAUUCCUCAAAUCUUGAUCACGUUGUUGUCUUCAUUAUGCUAGCAGUACACAUCUCUCCGCCUCUUCUAUUCCACAAAACCAUAAUUGUUCACCGGCUCCAGCAUUGUUGUUGCUCUCCACCAAUCGAGGAAGCUCUUGUCCUUGACAUCACCUUAUCCACUGACCAGCUGAAGUUAUCUGUACAUCCAAAGGUCUCAUAAGAUUUUUGCUGGAUUUGCAUUAAUAUUAAUAUUGCCACCAAUCUAGUCUCAACCUCGCCUUGUGUUCUCCGUGGUCAUUUUUUAUUCUAACUUGCAAGCUCCACAACUACAUAUGAUGGUUCUUCUAUAUACAUAAUAUAUCGCAUCUUCUAAGACAUAUAUCGCGGGCCGGCGGCGCGCGGGGGAGCGGCGCCGGUGGAGCGGAGGCGACCGGUGGUGGGCGGAAGCGGGUGGGCGCGAGCGCGGGUGGAGGCGGAAGAGCGUGCAGGCGGAGGCGGAUGGGUGGAGGCGUGCAGCGGCGGCGGGCGCGGGCGUGUGGCAGCAAGGCCGGCGGCGCGGGGAGGCGGAGACCGGUGGCGGCCAGCCGGCGAGCGUGGGGAUUCUUUUUAUUUUUUUCGAAAUUUUUUAGUCCCGAUUAGUGGUUGGUAACCCAACCGGGACUAAAGGGGACCUUUAAUUCCGGGUGGAUGACCCGGGACUAAAAAUCUCCUCUUUUGUCAAGCCAUCACUAUUGUCCAUAUCACAACGCCUGUGCCUUCUCUUGUUGUCCUCCCCCUUCCCUCUACCUUGCACCUUCUGUUUUCCUGAUCCUAUUGCCAGUUUGUUGCAGCCAUUUAUGGGCACCUCUUUCAUCCAUUGUCCACUGUUGUUGCCCGCUGCUUCAGUUCUUCUCUGACCAAAGCGGUCGUAUCGCGCUGGCCGGUAGGAAGCCAUCAUCUCGCAAAAGCGUCAUCGUCGUCGCCAAACCACAUCUAGCCGAUGCCGAACCAUACUUGCCAUCUUCUUUGCCAAUUUGCCGCUAUGGAAGCCUCCAUGCAUCGCUCAUCAAGUCUAUCCUAUCUCUAUCAGCUCCUGUGGUAUCCUGUUUUGUUUUUGCCUCAACCACGAAGCCAUAGGUUGCUGGUGCUAAAUUGCAGGGCUAGCAACAGGUAUUUCCUCUCCCUGGCCUUGCGGCCAUGCUAUGUAUUUUUCUCUUUAAAAAAAUUACAAUGAUUUAAUCCUAAUGUUCCGAUCAUGUGUGAUUGGUUUAUUAAUUAAAGUUAGAGUUAUACUUGAGUAUAUUAUAUAAAAAUAAUAUAUAUAUAUAUAUAUAUAUAUAUAUAUAUAUAUAUAAGUUACCAUACAAAGUACAACUUCCUACAAGGUGGAGAGGUUCGGAUGGAAUUUUGAUUCAACUUACUCUAUUCUAGAUAUUAGAGUUGUACUAGCAAAAUAUGCUAGUAUGUUGCUACGGUAAAAGAUCAAUUGUGUUUUUCAAAUUAAUAAUAUUUUUUAUUUUCAUAACUAAAUUUUUAUUCCACUUAUUGGAUGUCCACACAUUUAAUAGAAAACUAAAAGAAUUUUUUAUUCAAGCAAGAUAGUUAAAUCAGCCUCCGAUGGCCACCGACGGGGGCUCUUUAGGACUCCUUUAGCCCCGGUUGUAAAGCUAGUGGUCCUCGGGAUUCUGGUGAGGCGUUUUGUCCCGGUUGUAACUACCAACCGAGACUAAAGGGGGGGCCUUUAGUCCCGAUCAGUGUUUCCAACACAGACAAAAUGCUCCUCACCUCCACAUACACAAUGCGCGUGCCCCAAUUUCUCUCCUCCCUCCCCUUAAUUCCAGCGGCCAGGCCUCCUCUCCUUAAUUCCAACACCCACAUGCCUCCUCUCCUCCUCCCUUCACCCCCUACCUCCUCUCCUCCCUCUCUCUCUCUCCUCCGCCGGAUCCGGCCGGCCCCCACUCCCUCUCCCCAAGCUCCUCCCUCUCCCUCGGCCGAGGCGGGUGGCGCAGCCGGGGCCAGGGCGGCGUGGGUGGCCAGGGUCGGGGCCAGGGAGGAUGAUAGGUGGUUAUGAGGAUGAUACCUGCAGAUAAUACUUUUAAUCUCAAUUCUUACAGAAGAAUUGCACUAUGAACUACGCUUUCAUUUAUACCACACCGCUCAGCUAUAAAAAAUGGUGCAAAUCGACCAAAAUAAAUGAAUAAAUCACAUGGUUUAGACUGGUGGCAUAUGUAUGUUUGAUGAGUUUUGAAUCCCAACAGACCUCUGUUUGCUUAUCCAACCGGAGGAAAAACCUUUACUUACUAAAUCAGCUUUGCAUGCCAGGCUGCAAUUGUUAGAGCAGAAUUAGGUAAUUUGUGAACAUAAUUGAAUCAAAGUUUUGUCUCUGACAAGUAAUAGAAAAUGGUAAUGCUCCAUAGCAAGAACACGUUCCUACACUAGUUUAAAAAAUUCCCUGAAAUUGGGAACAAUGGUCAAGUCCAAACCAUACUUGCAACUUGGAGGACCGCUGGCCGAUGUAAGUCAAAGUCAAAAACAGAAGGAGACAGCGACGUCUCACCAGAUCACGAAUCAGAUGCGAUGCAUGUGCAUGUUCAGCAAGACAUUGAAAAGCAAGCUCUUCAAUACGCUCCAGCCCAGCUCCACCAUGGCUUUGGCAAUGCGCGUCAUGAGCUUGCUUCCUGCCACCAUCGCCGUGAUGAUCGCAGUGGCCUCUUGGGGAGCGCACGGCGGUGCCAGCGACGAGGCCAGCGCGCUGCUUGCUUUCAAGGCUCAGCUCGCCGGCAGCGGUUCCGGCAUGCUUGCAUCCUGGAAUGGCACCGCUGGCGUCUGCGGCUGGGAGGGCGUGGCGUGCACCGGCGGCCAGGUAGUGGCACUGAGCCUGCCCUCCUAUGGGCUCGCCGGAGCCCUCUCCCCGGCCAUUGGGAACCUCACUUUCCUGCGGACCCUGAACCUGAGUUCCAACUGGUUCCAGGGGGAGGUCCCAGCAAGCAUCGGCCGCCUAGCGAGUCUGCAGACGCUUGAUCUGAGCUACAAUACGUUCUCUGGUACGCUUCCUUCCAACCUCAGUGCCUGUGUCAGCUUACUGCUGUUGAGGCUCAGUAGUAACCGGUUCCAUGGGCGUAUCCCUGUUGAGCUUGGAGACAAGCUAACAAGUCUUCAGAUGUUGUCACUGCGCAACAACAGCUUGACGGGUGCCAUACCAGGAUCACUAGGUAACCUGUCAUCCCUGAUCUACCUUCAUCUGACAGAAAACCACCUCGAGGGUCCGAUCCCACAUGAACUUGGCAGCAUGGGCGGCCUGCAGGUCCUUUUCCUCUAUGAGAACAGACUCUCCGGUGUGCUUCCACACUCCCUGUACAAUCUGUCCUCACUGAAAAGCUUGUGGGUAGGAUACAACAUGCUGUCUGGAACCAUCCCUGCUGAUAUCGGCGAUAGGUUCCCCGGUAUGGAAGCUCUUGACUUUUCUAGCAACCGAUUCAGUGGAGCUAUCCCACCUUCGCUCGCCAACCUCUCUGCUCUCACAAAACUAGUCCUUCAAGGAAAUGAUUUUAUUGGAUAUGUGCCUUCUGCUUUGGGGAAGUUAAGUCUUACUGCCCUUUACUUGGGUGACAACAGGCUAGAAGCAAACGACAGUCAAGGGUGGGAAUUCAUAGCUUCACUGGCAAACAGCUCCCAGCUUCAGCUUCUUGUUCUCGGCAACAACUCUUUCAGCGGGCAACUGCCUAAUUCAGUCACAAACCUGUCAUCAACUCUGCAAGGUCUUUAUUUGGGACCCAAUAUGAUUUCUGGGAAUAUUCCAAUAAACAUCGGAAAUUUGGUUGGUCUUACAGUACUUGAGAUGGCAAAUACUUUUGUAUCUGGACAGAUUCCAGAGAGCAUUGGUCAGCUAAGAAACUUGGUUCAGCUAGCCCUUUACAACACUAGCUUGUCAGGCCUCAUACCUUCAUCACUAGGAAAUCUUACACAGUUGAAUAGCCUUUUAGCAUACUAUGGAAACUUAGAGGGGCCAAUUCCAUCAAACUUGGGGAACUUAAAGAAUGUGUUUUCCUUUGAUCUCUCAACAAAUCGACUCAAUGGUUCAAUUCCUAUAGAGGUUUUAAAACUUCCUCGACUUUCCUGGUACUUAGACUUAUCAUAUAAUUCAUUAUCCGGGCCACUUCCAACUGAGGUUGGUACCAUGGUGAAUCUUAACGAACUGAUUCUGUCUGGAAACAAGUUGUCAGGCACCAUACCAGCUAGUGUUGGGAACUGUAUAUCGUUGGUACGGCUGCUGCUCGAUAACAACUUAUUAGAAGGAAGCAUACCGCAAUCUCUGAAGAACUUAAAAGGUCUUGAAUUACUGAACCUAACAAUGAAUAAGCUAUCUGGUAGUAUUCCUGAUGCCCUUGCUAGCAUUGGCAACCUGCAACAACUGUAUCUUGCACACAACAACUUGUCAGGUUCCAUCCCCAAAGUUCUACAGAAUUUGACAUUGUUGGCAAAACUGGAUUUGUCCUUCAAUGAUCUGCAAGGCGAAGUGCCAAAAGGGGGUCCUUUUGCAAAUGCAACUCGCUUGUCACUUGAUGGAAAUGAUGAGCUUUGUGGCGGAAACCCUCAACUUCAUUUAGCUCCGUGCUCCACAGCUGCUGCGAGGAAGAACAGAAGGCGAAUGUCAAGAUCACUUAUGGUCACCGUUGCGUCAAUCUGCGCAUUUCUAUUCUUAGGUUUAAUAGUUUGUCUUAUCCAUUUGAUCCACAAGAGGCUCAGACAAGGAAAGGAAAAUCAACUCAUUCCCACAGCAAUUGAUGAACAGCACCAAAGGGUUUCAUAUCAAGCAUUAGCAAAUGGGACUGACCAUUUUUCGGAGGUUAAUCUGCUCGGACAAGGAAGCUAUGGUGCAGUUUAUAAGUGCACUUUACAUGACAAGGGAAUUACCGCAGCUGUAAAGGUAUUCAACGUACGGCAAUCUAGGUCUACUAGAAGUUUUGUGGCUGAAUGUGAGGCACUGCGAAGGGUGCGCCACCGAUGUCUCAUAAAGAUCAUCACCUGUUGCUUAAGCAUUGAUCACCAAGGCCAAGAAUUCAAGGCACUGGUUUUUGAGUUCAUGCCCAAUGGUAACCUAAAUGAUUGGCUGCAUCCAGCAUCCAAGAUACAGAGUCUGAGCAAUACGCUCAGCUUAGCUCAGAGACUGAACAUUGCGGUAGAUAUCAUGGAUGCUCUGGAUUAUCUUCACAAUCAGUGUCAACCGCCUAUUAUCCAUUGUGAUCUCAAACCAAGUAACAUCCUCCUUGCCGAAGAUAUGAGUGCUCGGGUUGGAGAUUUCGGCAUAUCAAAAAUCCUUCCUGAAGACACUAGCAAAACUCUGCUGAAUUCAGUUAGCUUCACUGGACUAAGAGGUUCCAUCGGAUAUGUCGCUCCAGGUAACAGAAACUAACACUGAUAUUGCUAUGUUCAGUUUUUAACUUCCAUUUUGCCAAGUCCAGUUAUCUCGGCAUGCACGUUGAUAAGUAGCUUGCCAUGAAUCCACUGACCAAAUAGUGUCUGAAAUCUGAAUUGACUGCAGAGUACGGCGAGGGUCGCGCUGUCUCAACUCUUGGAGAUGUUUACAGCCUCGGCAUACUGUUGCUUGAGAUGUUCACCGGGAUGAGCCCUACUGACGACAUGUUCAAAGGCUCCUUGGACCUUCAUAAGUUCGCCGAGGCCGCUCUCCCCGACAGAGCCUUGGAGGUAGCCGACCCGGCAAUCUGGUUUCAUGAAGAAGCAAAGGGGGAAAACCCUGCCACGGUGAGAAGCAGAAGCGAGAGGUGCUUGGCUUCAGUGAUCGGGCUUGGCGUGUCCUGCUCAAAGCAGCUGCCAAGGGAGCGGACGGCGAUGCGGGAUGCUGCCGCUGAGAUGCGUGCGAUCAGAGAUGCCUUCCUGGUUCAAUGUGCAACAGAGACUUGGCCUGCAGUCGGCACCACCGGCCUUGGAAGCGCAGACAGUUGAAUGGUGGACGGAGCUACGGUCUCUUGACGCACCAAGGAGCACUGGACUAGCAACUCUGCAACUAAACAGAGUGGAGAAAGAGCCCCUUAAUGAACAGAAAAACAGCCGGUGCAAGGCUUUAUACAAAGAAUGUGACAGCCACUGCGUGUAUCCGAGAGCCUUAUCUAAUCUACCAAGGAUUGUCCAUGUACUCCCUCCGUCCCAAAAUAAACACACAUGUCACUUGUCGAGGAGUCAAACUUUCUAAGUUUGACUAAAAUAAUGUACUACUAUUUAUAAUGUAUAAUAAGUAUCAUUAGAUUGAGUAUUGAGUAUACUUUUCUAAUACAUUUAUUUGAAGAUAUAAAUGUUGAUAUUAUUUUCUAUAUUCUUAAUCAAACUUAAAAACGUUUGACUCUCGAGAAGUGAGAUGUGCGUUUAUUUUAGGAUGGAGGGAGUACCCGUCACACGGAUUAGUUAUGAUAUAAGUAGGGACUAGCAAGCACCAAAACCCCAUUCACUGCCCAUGGAUCGCUCAAAUAAAAGAAACCAUUGCAUAUGGUGGUGAUGCGCUGGCGAGCCUUUCUCCAAACUUUCUGCUCUCGCGGACCUUGAACUCGCAUGGAACAAUUUUAGUGGAAGCGUGCCUCCACCUUUAUGGAGAUUGCGAAGCCUCAUUUACCUGUCCGUGGCAAUAAGCUAGGAUUGAAUGACAAGGACGGAUUGGAAUUCAUCACCAUGCUGGCAAACUGCAGUCAGCUUCAGCAACUGGCUUUUGACAAUAAUUCAUUCAUCGGGGAACUUCCUAGCUCAAUUGCAAAUCUAUGGACAACACUCCAAUUACUCUAUAUAGGAAACAAUUGGAUUUCGGGAUUUAUUCCAUCCAGCAUAGGUAAUUUGGUUGGUCUAGAACUGCUUACGUUGGCAAAUACUUUCAUAUCCGGAGUGAUUCCAGAUAGCAUUGGUCGCCUAGAAGGCAUGUCCGUGUUAGGCAUUUACUACACUAGCUUGUCAGGCAUCAUACCUUCAUCACAAGGAAACCUUACACAGUUGAAAGCUCUCUAUGCGUACGAUAGAAACUUGGAGGGUCCAAUUCCAGCAAGCUUGGAGAACUUAAAGAAUCUUUUUGUCCUUGAUCUCUCAACGAAAGUGUGUAACCUGCUAAGAUUUCAUGUCGAAGUAGAGCAUAAACCUCUCUCAAAAGACUGCGAAGCUACCAUAGAGUAGAUCAGUCUAAGGGUCGGACUAUACCCUAUCAACGCCUCCCCUCUUGCCCUUUCGAUAAGAUUACCCCAAAGGUCCAAACUAGAGUCUUUAAUUAAUUAACCAAGACCAAAGCCAUAUAGUUCUUGUGGUUGUACUAUUUUCCUGGGUGGUCGCUCCAUGUUCCAAUUAAGCAUGGCGGUCUUGUAUUAAUAAAAGGUAUAUCAUAAAUAAAACAAGUUUAAUCAUUGAGUUCAUUAAAACCAUCAUAACCCAAGGUAUUGCAACUAAGCAUAUCUACCCAAUAAAAAGGUAAAACCCAGGUUGACAAGGAAUGAUCAUAAAAACUAGGUCAAUAUUAAAUGCAGAGCAGUGUAGAAGUGAUUAAAUAUAGUUAUUGGUACAAAAACACAAACAAGGACACACUUGCCUUUCUCCAAAGAAUAGCUGCUCAGAUUAUCUUCAGCUCUUGUUCCUCAAAGCUCUCGAACAACGUUCCUUCUACUCGCAUCAAUCAUCGGCACAAGUAUACAAAGCAAACAACAAUCACAACUAAGAACAAUACAUCAAUCAUAGGAAAGCUUUAAAAGAGCGUACUAAAGGAUAAGGCUCGAAUCUAAGGUCACACGAAUGCAAGAAACGCUAGGAACGAAACUAUGGUUGAAAAGACAAAGCUAUCGAGAGAUUUGAAUUAUAAAAGAAAGAAAAGCCUAUGUGCUUCAUAUAUUUUAAUAAUGAAAAUAAUGUAAAGAUAUUUUAGAGAGACAUCCUUAGCAAGUUAUAUUUAUAUAUGAAAAGACGAUGUAGAAUAGUCAAAUUUUCUUUAUAAACAUUCAAGUACAAUUUAUGCAAAUUAAAUAUUUAAUUUGAAAAUAAAGUAUAUGUAAACAUCUAAGCGCAUAGCUUUAUGGUUAUGGUUCGGGUUGAACUAACCAAAUAUAAUUCAAAAACACAAUUAUUUUUAUAUUAGUCAAAUUAACAUAUAAUUAUGAAAACUCGAGAUAUAACUUAUGUAGCUUUUAUUUAGAAAACAAAUUGAAUAAAUAUUAAUCAAUUUAAGUUUAAUUAUGAACCACCGUGGUGCAUCUCUAAUUCGCUUUUAAUUGAAAGAGUUGUUUAAUUAAGCAUUAACUAAAUUAACAUUUAUUAUGAAAAGCGGUUAUAACACUAAGUAGCUUUUAAUUAAAGAAGACAUGUUUAACAUGCAUUAAUUAUAUUAAUAUUAAAUUAAUUUUAAAAACAUGCAUGAUGGAAGGAUCACUACUAACAUGUAAUUUGUGUUAUCACGAACCUAACUCAACAAGAACGGAUAUAAACGAAGCUGUAAUGAGGAGCCUAUGGGUUAAACAAGGUCGUAGGGCCUAAUCACGAUUAACGGAAGGUUAUUGGGGUUAGCAAGGAAGAUUUGCAAGACACUAUAAUAGAGCUCGCCAUUAGGUCAAAGCAUAGGGUUAGAUCUAUUAAAGUGCUCAGGUUGGACUUGGUUGCACGGAUCCAAUCUAAUGAGGGACAUGGAUGAAAAAAACAAGACACAAGGAAAAACUAACUAUUUACAAAGCUUUCCGGGGCCUAUGCGCAAAAGCACCACAACUCAGCAUCCAUGGCGGACGGGCUCCUGGAUGGCAAAAUCCUCGUGUCGGAUUUAUAAGCCCACAGUCCACCAAGGGGUUACCCAAGUCGUUGAUUGUGGCGGAACCGCCCAAAUUAACCUGACUAAAAUGCAUUGAAGUCGCCUGACACGCGAUUAUGCACUUUAAGCAAGUCAACUUGGUCGACCGUCGGAUUUCCUCCGAUAAACCACAUAAACAGGAUCGAGAAGCAUCGCUCACGCGAAGGUGAGUAGCACAGAGGUUACAACAAUCCAUCAUGACAACAUAGUUCAACAAUUUAUUACAUCAGAGUUUUUGAAAUUCAAACCGAAAUUUGCAUGGUUCGAAGUCAAAGGAAAACAGCGGAAACUAAACGUCGAUACAUGACAUCACGACGGAGCCGAUCAUGACAUCAAAAAUUUCUUCCUUCGCCAUCCGAGGAAGGAUCCCACUCGACGGUCCAGCCUGGAGGAAGCUGGGUCGGCCAAGUGGUACCAACACCCAAACUAUUGACAUUACCUGAAAAAGAUUAGCCACAACAAGGCUGAGCAACUAGUACUCAGCAAGACUGACCCGUCGGAAAGACACGACCGAGACCUAGACAUGCAAGGCUUUCUGGCUCUGGGGUUUUCUUUGCCAAAAGCGUCUAAAGUCAGUCCUUAUUUUCAACAUUUUAGCUCAUGUUCUAUGUUCUUUAUCCAUUCUAGAUUAGCAACUUAUACUAAACAAACAUGGUUUCCAAGCAAUUACUUAACAAGCAUCAAGAUUAAAAUCAUCAUCAUCAUGUUCCAUCUUUACUCAGUGCAGAAUAGCGAUCAAGUAGUCCCAAUCUGUGAGAGGCAGACGAAUCGAUUCGAAUUUAUUAACCAUGCAUGGCAAACCUAAUCUCACGACAUCCGCGCACCACGAAGGGUCGCUUCAUUUGUCAGCCGUCCCCAUCGAUCCCUUAGGCACGUGUCAGGGCCAACUUCCUUUGGCAUGCAAUGCUCCACAGUCCUGGCCUAUUGCUGCACUGUGACCGCACUUGCACCCACAUGAUGCACCAUGGGAACGACGUUCCAAGGACAGCCGGAGGGUAUGCCACGCCCCAGUUCAAUCAGGUACUAGGCUUCCCCAUCCCAUACUAGGUAUGAGAUUAGUACUUUCAAACACUUGAUCACGAACGCCGACACGUUUCGACCAUAGUUCAUUUUCAUUUAGACAGACGGGGCAAUCCACCAAGUAUCGAACACAAGCCUGACCCCGUCCGUCGUCCUUAUAGUUGCGACAUAUCUGAAAUAUUCAACUCCUAUAACUCGCGAGUGACAGGAGAUCACUCGACUUUUACCGAAACCUAUUAAGCAAUGCAACUACUCGGCAAGGUCUUCUUCCGGCGCCGGGUGAAGCUCGUACGUUCCGUCGGCGAGAUUCAACUCUACACGAAAAUGCAAUGCUGGGGUUAGACAUUUUAGAUGGUUAUUUCAACACACUCAUGUUUUAACACGGACACUUUGCUACAGGAAAGGUGGGGGAGUUCAACUUCUGUUGGUGGAGAACAGGAUGAGAGGGUCGGAUUGGGGGAAACUUAGGGUCUGACCCUCAGGUUUAAGGAAAAACCGUACCGAGGUCGUCAGACUCAACACAGAGGAAUCCCCAAAAUUAUUUCAUCGUACCCUCGGGUCAAAGAAAAAGUUACAACCGAGCCCUCGGGCGAGGCGGAGAAAGGGUCGGCGAAACUUGGCAGGGUCGGGCGAGGCGAAAGGAAAAAGGUCGGGCGAGAUGAAAAGAAAAGGGGUCGGGCGAACCGAAACAAAGGGGUCGGGCGAAACGAAAAGGAAGGGGUCGGUCGAGAGGGAACACAAGGGGUCGGUCGAGACGGAACACAAGGGGUUGGUCGCUUACCUCCAGGUCUACCGGUGAAGCCUUGGGGCCGAACAGGAGUAGGCUGGGGUGGGAAGUCGUACACGCUAAGUCUUGGGCAACGGCGAGUCUUCGACGGUGGUCAGGUGGCGGUGGUGCUUCUUGCGGACACCAGCAAGCUCGAGUACCGUGCGGAGGAGCGGGCGGCUGGUCUGUUGGGAGAAACGGCUUGAGGGUGGCGGCGAAGUCGCCGAAGUGUGGGGGUGGUGUAAAAGGGGUGAGCUCCACGGAAGCUCAGCGGCGGCGCGGGGAGAAAGCGGCGGCGCAGGUGCGGGCGGUGGCAAGGGGUGGCAUUGCCGGUGAGGGGGGUUCCCUUUUAUAGGGUCGGGGUGGCGCGGAGGGUCGAGGCGGGGCUUCGGUGGGGAAAGGAUAAGGCCGGGAGCGGCGAGUGCGCGGACAAGGCGGCCAUUGGCCAGCAACGCCAUUGGGCAGAGGAGGUGGAGCUCCGGGUGGUCUUCGGCGGCGAUUGGCCUUGGGCGACGCCCGUCUGGGGCUUCCGGUCUGUCGGGCGGGCGAGGCGGAGAGCUACCGUGGGGGUUGGGCGAACGGGCGGAGGCGCGGGAUGUCGGGGGCGUGUCAGCUUUCUCGGCGGACGGGCGGAACAGGGUUGGCGGAGCAGAGCCGUGGCAGGCGGAAGGCGGCACGCGCGCAGCCGGCGGUUGGCUGGCCCGGCGUUCGCUCCGUCCUGUCGCAGGCGCGGGUUGGGCGCCGUGGCUCUCGUCCUGUCGCUGUCGUGCUGGGGAUAGGGCGCCGGCGAGCUGCCGGUGGCCGGCGGCCACGUGGCGCGCGGUGCGCGAGCGAACAUGCUCGGGCGUGCGGGCGUCGAGGCUCCCUUCGGGCAGCAAGCCCGACCAGCUUUGGAGUGAUCCUUCCUCCGAAUCUUUCAACACAACUUCCGAAACUCCCUUAAACAAACUUGCUCAACUCUGAUUGUUCUUCAAACUUUGUUUAAGGUGCUGGUUUAGAUUGUGAAAGGAUUCAAAGAUAUUUCCGGCCAAGUUAGCCAAAAAUCUGGGAUUCCAGACUUAGGAUUUAAGGCAUCCGGGGUGAGUUGACUGGUUUACCUCACUUUGACCGGGAUUUUGAACAAGUUCGGGUCCGAUUUGGAUCUGGGUCAGAGUAACAAAGUUGGAAUACACUCGAGGUACUACAACUUUCAUUAAGGCUCUGACUUGGGUUUAGAUAGGAAAACGGGAUAUGAAAGCUUGUAAAGAUGGAGGAAAACUCGAAUUCCAGGACUUAAGAGAUUUUCAGGGUCCUUUAGAAAAACCGGCUUUGGUUGCUGUUUUUGACUUCCUUCCACUCCGAAUUGGUCAAAGUGCUUUUAACAAAAGUUGUUGGAAUUAAAAAGUUUUACAACUCUUAUUUGGGCAGAAACUUAAGUUUGUAUAUAAUAUUUCAAGAUUUAAAUCAAACUCCAAAAGGAGCUUCUUAGGUUUAUAAAGGUCAUUUCACUUCUUAAAUUAGGGAUUUAUCACUGGUUUAGAGUUAAAAGUACUUAAUUUAGGUAGAGUUGUUACAGCCUACCCCCCUUAAAGGAAUCUUGCCCCGAGAUUCAAGUGCAGAAGGAACUAGUGUGGUUGGUGCAAUGUACCUCCUUGCUCGAAAAGAAAACCGCGGAAGUUAGCGUUGAGGUACUCUUCCGUCUCCCAGGUCGCUUCAUCUUCCGUAUGGUUACUCUACUGAAUUUUGUACAUCUUGACCAUUUGCCGACGAGUAUGUCUUUCCUUGCGGUCGAGGAUCUUAACAGGAUACUCCUUAUAUGAUAAAUCGGGUUCGAUCUCCAAUUCUUCCGGGGGAAUGAUUUCAGUUGGAAUCCUGAUGCACUUCUUAAGUUGCGAGACAUGGAAAACAUCAGGUAUUGCUACAAUCUUCUCUGGAAGUUUAACUCGGUACGCUAUGGGUCCACACGCCUCUACGAUCUCAUAGGGACCAAUAUAGCGCGGAGCUAACUUUCCCUUUACUCCAAAACGUUGUACACCUUUGGUCGGUGAAACCCGUAGGUAUACAAAAUCCCCAACCUUAAAUUGGAUGGGUCUUCUUCUUUGAUCGGAAUAGCUCUUGUGUCGAGAUUGGGCGGCCUUGAGAUUUUCGCGGAUGACUCUCACUUUUUCUUCGGCCUCUAUGACCAGGUCAGGUCCAUACACCGUUCGCUCUCCGGGUUGCGACCAGCUCAGUGGGGUCCGGCAUCUACGUCCAUACAAGGCCUCGAAAGGUGCCAUUUUCAGGCUAGCUUGGUAACUGUUGUUGUAGGAGAAUUCCGCUAAUGGCAAAUACCCCAGUUCUUGUCAUAAUGAAUAACACAGGCGCGUAACAUAUCUUCCAAAAUCUGAUUAACCCUUUCAGUUUGCCCGUUGGUCUGAGGAUGAUAUGUGGAACUACGGAUCAAUUGAGUGCCAAGUGAAAACUGCAACUGCUCCCAAAAGCGUGCUACAAACUGACUACCUCGAUCAGAGAUGAUCAUUUUAGGUACUCCAUGCAAGGAAACAAUCCGAUCAAGGUACAAUUCUGCAUAUUUCUGUAUGGUGUGGGUGGUGUGUACUGGAAGGAAAUGUGCCGUUUUGGUUAGUCGGUCUACUAUAACCCAUAUGGAGUCAUGCUUGCGGGGGGUAUUGGGUAGUCCGACUAUAAAGUCCAUGCUUAUGUCUUCCCAUUUCCACGAGGGAAUAGGCAGCGGCUGCAAGGGGCCAGCUACCCUCAAGUGGCUUGCCUUGACUCGCUGACAGGUAUCACACUCUGAAACAUAGCGUGCAAUGUCGGGUUUCAUCCCACUCCACCAGAAAUUUUGUCGGAGGUCGUGAUACAUCUUGGUAUUGCCGGGGUGAAUCGAGAACUUGGAUAGGUGUGCUUCGUGCAGAAUUUGUCUCUUAAGCUCGGGAUCAUUUGGAACUACAAGUCGAGCUUCAUAAUGUACCACUCCUUUCCAGCCCUGUCGGAAACGUUUAUAUCCCUCAUCCUUCUGUGCAAGUUUCCCUUUGAUAAUGUUUAUCUCUUUGUCCUCUAGCUGUGCUAGAAUGAUUUGGUCAAGUAGGGUGGGCUCUAGAGAAAUAUGACUUAAGGUGUCGUGUGGAACAAUUUCCAAGUUGAGUCUAGCCAUUUCGUGACACAGGGUCUCGGCAUAAUUACUCGCCGAUAAGCAGUUACAAUGGAUCUUGCGGCUAAGGGCAUCUGCAACUAUGUUGGCUUUUCCUAGGUGAUAAUGCACUUCUAGGUCAUAAUCCUUGAUUAAUUCUAGCCAUCACCGCUGAUGCAUGUUGAGGUCUUCUUGAGUGAAUAUAUACUUAAGGCUCUUGUGAUCUGUAUAGAUGUUGCAUCGGGUUCCCAUGAGUUAAUGCCUCCAUAUUUUCAGAGCAUGAACGACUGCCGCUAACUCAAGAUCAUGAGUAGGGUAAUUCAACUCAUGUGGUCGUAAUGCUCGCGAGGCAUAGGCAAUGACUCGGCUGUCUUGCAUAAGAACACAACCAAGUCCAGUGCCAGAGGCAUCGCAAUACACAUCAAAUGGCCUAGUGGUGUCGAAAACUUCGAAUCUGAUGAACUGAAGUGGGCGGCUUCCAGUCCAUUACUUCUUGCACCUUGCUUGGGUCUACUGCUAUACCGUCUCUGGAUAUGGUGUGUCCCAAGAAUUUAACACUGUCCAGCCAAAAGUCACACUUAGAGAAUUUGGCAUAGAGUUGGUGGUCUCUUAAGCGUUGGAGUAAAGUAUGUAGGUGCUCUGCAUGUUUUUCUUCAUUCUUCGAGUACACCAAGAUGUCGUCAAUGAAUACCACGACGAAUUUGUCGAGUUCGGGCAUAAACACCGAAUUCAUGAGGUACAUGAAAUAAGCCGGUGCAUUAGUAAGCCCAAAUGACAUGACUAAGUACUCGUAGAGUCCAUAUCGUGUAGAAAAGGCAGUCUUUGGAAUGUCGCACGGGCGGAUCUUGAUUUGAUGGUAGCCAGAACGGAGGUCAAUUUUGGAAAACACUCUAGCUCCAGCUAAUUGGUCGAACAGAACAUCAAUGCGGGGUAGUGGGUACUUAUUCUUUAUCGUCACCGCAUUGAAAGGUCGGUAGUCCACACACAUACGCAGACUAUCGUCCUUCUUUUUCACAAACAAGGCAGGGCAACCCCAAGGUGAUGUACUUGGGCGAAUAAAACCCUUUUCCAACAAAACAUGCAACUGAGUUUUCAUUUCUGCUAGUUCGGCUGGUGGCAUCCGGUAUGGUCUCUUUGAAAUUGGGGCGGUACCUGGUUGCAACUCAAUGGCAAACUCGAUGUCUCUCUCAGGCGGCAUACCCGGCAAAUCGUCUGGAAACACAUCCGGGUACUCGCACACUACUGGGAUAUCUUCCAAUCGGGCUUUAGACACGGGAUAGGCACAAGAAGUUUGGCACUCUCGGGGAGGUAAGUGUAUAGUCGAGCUACCAUACUUGGGUGAAUUUAUAUGGAUUGCCCUGGCAGGGAUAUCUAGGGUCACUUGGUGUCGGGUCAUCCAAUCCAUACGCAAGAUAACAUCUAUUCCUUCUAUCCCAAGGGUAAGCAGAUCUUCCUUAAGAAGGGUCCUCCCUAACUGGAUAGGUACUCUGCAGCUUACUUGGUGUGAAGUUACCUUUCCACCCGGGGUAGAGAUUAUGUAGGUACCUUUGGUGUGACAGAAAUCUAACCCACACUUAGCACUGAUUCUAGUCCCAAUGAAACUAUGAGAUGCUCCCGAAUCAAACAGAAUAAGGACGGGUUGAUCACAGAUAGAAAAGGUACUCGUCAUCACUGGUGCGCCCUCUGGAAGUUCAGCAAGGGUGGUGAAGUUCAGCCUGCCUUGUCGGACCUGCACCUUUGGCUUCUUCCCCUUGUUGCCCAGUGUAUGGCUCUGACUGGGUCGUUGAUUCUGGUUGCGGGGGCAGUCCUUGGCGAAGUGUCCUGGGUUCCCGCAAGUGAAACAGCGGUUUCCAGUGACCGGGCGCAGCGGCAUCGGGAGAGCAGGGCGGGGUCCUUGCGGCUGGAAUCCGGGGAAACGAGGUGCUGCCUGCGGUGGAGGUCGAGCAACCCAUCUCCCAGGCUGUGCGGGCGUGCGAGGUGCUUGUGGGGAAACCAUUCUGUACUUCUGGGCAGGCGGGCUGGGUGCCGGCAUUGGGGCCUUCCUUUUCAUGUCGGCCUUGAGGGCCCUCAUGCAAUCUUCCUGGGAAAUGGCCAGGUUCACCAGUUCAUUGUAGGAACCCACUUUGAUGGGAUUCAGCCUUUCCUUGAGCUUCAAACUCAAGCCUCUGCGGAAACGGUCCCUCUUUUUCUCAUCGGAGUCCGCAUGGUAGCCUGCAUAGCGACACAGGUCAUUGAAAGCCUGCGCAUAGUGCAGACAUCGCGGCCUCCCUGGGUGAGAGCCAGGAACUCGUUGAGCUUGCGCUCCAGAAGACCUUCAGGGAUGUGAUGGCCCCUGAACGCCGUCUUGAAUUCCUCCCAACCGACGACGUGGUCGGCCGGCUGCAUGGCAUGGUAGUGAUCCCACCACAGGAGAGCAGAACCACGCAACUACUGCGCGGCGAACCGAACCUUGUUCUCGUCCGGGCAGUAGGCGGUGAGAAGGGAGAACUUGGACUCGAUAGUGCGAAUCCAGGCAUCGGCGUCAAGUGGGUCCUCCGUCUUGUGAAAUAGAGGAGGCUGGGUCCCCAGAAAAUCUUCGUAACGAGCAACAUGGGGCUGUUGAUGGGCCCUUCCUCCCUGAGGCUGCUGCUGCUGCUGCCCCUGAGCGAUGUGCCUCAACAGCUCGGUCUGGGCUGCCAAGAUCGACUCGAGGGUGGUCGGAGGCGGAGGUGGGGGAGGCACCUCGCUGCCACUGGGAACGGAGCCGGAGCGUGUGCGAUGCGCCAUCCUUGGGCGAGCCAAAACCUUAUCCCCGGGGUCUCACUAAUUCCGACCUCUGGUGCCGGGGUCGGGCGAAACGGAGCUUCUCAACACGGGAUCGGACAAAACGGAGCCUUUCAUCCCGGGGUCGGGCGAGGCGGAGACCUGCCGCGAGGGGUCGGGCGCGUCCGACCUCGCGACUCGGGGUCGGUCAACUUUGGACAGGCCCACAGGAGACGGGUGUGUGGUCACAGCACCAAAACCCACACAACUUGGCAUUCACGGCGCGUCGCAAAGGGUCAAAAGUCGAGUCAAGAGUGAAAGAAAAACAGGAACUGCUUUCACCAAGAUCAUUUCAUUGCUGGUCUUAAAAUAUAGGAGGAGUACUCAACUCAAGGCUAACCUAUUACAUCAUUGGCCAAAAAUAUAGGUCGUCGAGGAGUACAAUCAAAAAUAAAAUAGAACCGCUCAACCUAGUUUGUUAUAACUAGAAGUCGUCGAGGUUGCCCACGGAGGCAAAGCUAAGGACCGGAGAGUGAGCAUCACCAACUGGAGGCUGCGGUGAGGCAUUCUCAUAGUCCAUGCUUGAAAAGCCUUCGAUCUCCUCAGGCUCCUCCUCCUGGGCCAUCGGCUCAUCCAGCUGCACCUCUAAGGCGUGGAUGGCAUUAAGCUCAUCGUGAUGCUCCUGCAGGUGCUCAUUGGCGUUCGCCAGCUCCAUGUUCACAUCAUAGAACUGGUCAGCCAAGAUCUCCAUAUCGUGAUCCAUAUCCACAAUCUCUUCCUCCAAACGAGUAAUCUUGUCCUGCAUCUCAGCAAUCUGAACAUCCUUCUGUACCAGCUCGAGCGACUGGUCCACCAUGCCACUCUGCACGGUAGACAAGGCAACCUGGUUGGCCACUGCCAUCCCAAUCACCAUAGCCAUCGCUCGGCUCUGCAGCUCAACCAUCCUGUAGAACACAUUCAGGCAACGAGCUGAAACAAAAAUCGUGCACUGAGGAUCCAUAAGCCCGAGCAAGUCCAUAUGCUCCAUACGAUCCAACCAGUCCGGGUCCCUCGUACCCCGGGCAGGGAACAACCCAAUCGGGUCUAGCAUGAUCUCAAGAGGGUGUGCCCAGCAAAACUGGGUCAAGGUCUGCAAGGCUGCGAACUCCCAGGCGUCGUGGAGCGUGUGUCCCUCAGCCACUACCUCCAACAGCGACAACGGUGGCUGAUCCGGAGGCGGGGGUACCCGCACGUGUAUGCGGCUCCGCGGAAUCCCGUGGUCCUGGUACGCACGGCCCGCAUAAACCGGCGGCGACUGGUACCCGAAAGAGCGCAGGGUGUCCCACAACACAGUUGGAAAACCCUCGUAGUGAAGGCACCGUGAGUAGGUGGUGCCCUCCGUACCGACUGCCACGUGCACGGGCUGCGCCAUCUGUAACCAAGGGUCACGUGAGAAAUGGGGUUAACACUUGGAAAUCAAACAGAUUUCUGGCAGUUAGAGAAAAGCUCAUAACUCAGCAAGUAUUCCUCCAAAAUUUCUCAAAUUUUACCAGCAUGUUCUUUAGAUAGUGGGUAACAAGUUUGGUAUUCAAAGGUAGGGCUAGAACAGACCUAACAAGGUGAUAAUCUCAGAUUCCCAUUAAGUAUACCUGCUGGAACUCUUCAGACCGAGUCAAGAUAAACUGAAUACAUCUUCCAAACCAGAGACUUAACAAAACCGAAACUCUACCAGUAAGUCCUUCACUAAGUUCUAAAAAACUCUGCUUAAAGGACUCCUCGCAGAAAAGGUCCUUAAGGUGGUCGAAAUAGCAGAAACUCCGUUGGUGUGCACUUUGGGCUAACAGCCAACAGGGGGUCACCAAACUGAUCACAACUCUCAACCCAAAUGGUAGUACCUUGAGGCAGUUUUACUUGGGAGUUUUAACACAACUUUCUUAUACAAAGUUUCUGGAGUUAGCAUGGCGGAAAAAGGACAGCUAGACAAUCCUUAACGCGGUGCAUUACUUUUUACGACGUACUCGAGUUUGGUUUUAUUUCCUUAGGUUGUGAUUUUUAUUUCUUAAUGCAUGCACGUCCUAGUCGUCCUCUCAACCAAAAAUAAUUUCCAAAAACCUUUGGACUUACGUGGUCAGUGCCGGUGGCAAGGCAACAAUACGGCUCUCACUAUAAUAGCUAGUCGAGUUACUAGGCCUCGUUUCGAACGCAACGUUUGUUAGUGUACCUGCAGAAAAACACAACACAGCUUGAACCUUCCGUGCCAGCACUCAUGAAAGCGUCCACAAUCAUUACCGUUCACUAUAGAAAUGGCACCCAUGCGUUUAACACUGCAUGGACAGUGCAACAACCGUGGAAAUAGGUUCCUUUGAAUAGAAUCCUAUAACCCUUCGCAUUCUCGUGAUGCAGAAUCAUGCACACGUGUAACAAACGUGGGCGAACAACCGUGACGAUAGGCUCGUUGGAAUCGAACCAUACCAUCCUUCGCAUGUAUUAACAUACGGAACCUGCGCACGUAUAAUAGAUGUGGGCGAAACAACCGUGAUGAUAGGCUCGUUGGAAUCGAAUUCCCAUCACCCUUCGCAUACUCGCGAUGCGGAUUUCGGCACACGUAUGAUAGACAUGGCAACAAGUGCUGGAAGUUAGAAGAUAACCAAUAACUAUUAGCCACCUUAAAAAUAACCCCAAAAUCCCCUAGGGCUCCUCGAACUAAACUCAUCCUUAGCGAACUUACGAAUUUCUCAAUUUUACUUCUUCCAAAUUUUAGUUGGAAAAAGAGUUUUAAGGUUUGUUGUUCUCCGUACUGUGCUUCGAGCUCUGAUACCAGCUGUGGCGGAACUGCCCAAAUUAACCUGACUAAAAUGCAUUGAAGUCGCCUGACAUGCGAUUAUGCACUUUAAGCAAGUCAACUUGGUCGACCGUCGGAUUUCCUCCGAUAAACCACAUAAACAGGAUCGAGAAGCAUCGCUCACGCGAAGGUGAGUAGCACAGAUGACAACAUAGUUCAACAAUUUAUUACAUCAGAGUGUUUGAAAUUCAAACUGAAAUUUGCAUGGUUCGAAGUCAAAGGAAAACAGCGGAAACUAAACGUCGAUACAUGACAUCACGACGGAGCCGAUCAUGACAUCAAAAAAUUUCUUCCUUCGCCAUCCGAGGAAGGAUCCCACUCGACGGUCCAGCCUGGAGGAAGCUGGGUCGGCCAAGUGGUACCAACACCCAAACUAUUGACAUUACCUGAAAAAGAUUAGCCACAACAAGGCUGAGCAACUAGUACUCAGCAAGACUGACCCGUCGGAAAGACAUGACCGAGACCUAGACAUGCAAGGCUUUCUGGCUCUGGGGUUUUCUUUGCCAAAAGCGUCUAAAGUCAGUCCUUAUUUUCAACAUUUUAGCUCAUGUUAUAUGUUCUUUAUCCAUUCUAGAUUAGCAACUUAUACUAAACAAACAUGGUUUCCAAGCAAUUACUUAACAAGCAUCAAGAUUAAAAUCAUCAUCAUGUUCCAUCUUUACUCAGUGCAAAAUAGCGAUCUAGUAGUCCCAAUCUGUGAGAGGCAGAAAAUCGAUUCGAAUUUAUUUACCAUGCAUGGCAAACCUAAUCUCACGACAUCCACGCACCACGAAGGGUCGCUUCAUUUGUCAGCCGUCCCCAUCGAUCCCUUAGGCACGUGUCAGGGCCAACUUCCUUUGGCAUGCAAUGCUCCACAGUCCUGGCCUAUUGCUGCACUGUGACCGCACUUGCACCCACAUGAUGCACCAUGGGAACGACGUUCCAAGGACAGCCGGAGGGUAUGCCACGCCCCAGUUCAAUCAGGUACUAGGCUUCCUCAUCUCAUACUAGGUAUGAGAUUAGUACUUUCAAACACUUGAUCACGAAGGCCGACACGUUUCGACCAUAGUUCAUUUUCAUUUAGACAGACGGGGCAAUCCACCAAGUAUCGAACACAAGCCUGACCCCGUCCGUCGUCCUUAUAGUUGCGACAUAUCUGAAACAUUCAACUCCUAUAACUCGCGAGUGACAGGAGAUCACUCGACUUUUACCGAAACCUAUUAAGCAAUGCAACUACUCGGCCUUAGCAACUAGUAUUCAAAAACAAGGUACUAAGUUUAUGCAUCUAAGGUUCCAUUACAACUCCUCGAAACGUAAAUGCGCAAUCAAGUAAUCAAUAAUAUUGCAUGAACUCAAGAUAGGAAUUUAUGCUCCGGGGCUUGCCUUCAGGAAAAGCUUGCGGGUCCUCGGGGUCUUGCUCCGGUUCGGGCUCUCCUUCGAAGGGAUGCAGUUCCUCGGCGGGGUCUUCUUUCGGCGCCGGGUGAAGCUCGUACAUUCCGUCGGCGAGAUUCAACUCUACACGGAAAUGCAAUGCAGAGGUUAAACAUUUUAGAUGGUUAUUUCAACACACUCAUGUUUUAACACGGACACUUUGCUACAGGAAAGGUGGGGGAGUUCAACUUCUGUUGGUGGAGAACAGGAUGAGAGGGUCGGAUUGGGGGAAACUUAGGGUCUGACCCUCAGGUUUAAGGAAAAAUCGUACCGAGGUCCUCAGACUCAACACAGAGGAAUCCCCGAAAUUAUUUCAUCGAUACCCUCAGGUCAAAGAAAAAGUUACAACCGAGCCCUCGGGCGAGGCGGAGAAAGGGUCGGCGAAACUUGGCAGGGUCGGGCGAGGCGAAAGGAAAAAGGUCGGGCGAGACGAAAAGAAAAGGGGUCGGGCGAACCGAAACAAAGGGGUCGGGCGAAAUGAAAAGGAAGGGGUCGGUCGAGACGGAACACAAGGGGUCGGUCGAGACGGAACACAAGAGGUCGGUCGCUUACCUCCAGGUCUACCGGUGAAGCCUUGGGGCCGAACAGGAGUAGGCUGGGGUGGGAAGUCGUACGCGCUAAGGCUUGGGCAGCGGCGAGACUUCGACGGUGGUCCGGCAGCGGCGGUGCUUCUUGCGGACACCAGCAAGCUCGAGUACCGCGCGGAGGAGCGGAUGGCUGGUGUGUUGGGAGAAACGGCUUGAGGGUGGCGGCGAAGUCGCCGGAGUGUGGGGGUGGUGCAAAAGGGGUGAGCUCCACGGAAGCUCAGCGGCGGCGCGGGGAGAAAGCGGCGGCGCAGGUGCGGGCGGUGGCAAGGGGUGGCAUUGCUGGUGAGGGGGUUCCCUUUUAUAGGGCCGGGGUGGCGCGGAGGGUCGAGGCGGGGCUCCGGUGGGGAAAGGAUAAGGCCGGGAGCGGCGAGUGCACGGGCAAGGCGGCCAUUGGCCGGCGACGCCAUUGGGUAGAGGAGGCGGAGCUCUAGGUGGUCUUCGGCGGCGAUUGGCCUUGGGCGGUGCGCGUCUGGGGCUUCCGGUCUGUCGGGCGGGCGAGGCGGAGAGCUACCGUGGGGGUUGGGCGAACGGGCGGAGGCGCGGGAUGUCGAGGGCGUGUUAGCUUUCUUGGCGAACGGGCGGAACAGGGUUGGCGGAGCAGAGCCGUGGCAGGCGGAAGGCGGCACGCGCGUGGCCGGCGGUUGGCUGGCCCGUUCGCUCCGUCUUGUCGCAGGCGCGGGUUGGGCGCCGUGGCUCUCGUCCUGUCGCUGUCGUGCUGGGGAUAGGGCGCUGGCGAGCUGCCGGUGGCCGCUAGAUUUUUCUCACUAUGAAUAUAAUUCAUAGCAAUUACUUUGGAGUUUUUCAGCUUUCUAACAGAUUUAAGCCUCCGCUUCACAUGCCUCGAGGACUUCAUAUUAUCCUUAGUACUCAUAACUUUGAUCAAUACCGUUUGGUUAUCAUAGUACAUAAGGAUUGCCGGAACUGGUUUCUCCACCAGUGGCAAGUCCAUGAGUAGCUCUCUUAGCCACUCGGCCUCAACAGUAGCCGUGUCAAGUGCUACAAGCUCAGCUUCCAUGGUUGACCACGUCAAAAUGGUCUGUUUACACGACCUCCAUGAAACUACAGCACCUGCUAGUGUAAACAUAUAGCCACUCGUGGCUUUAAUUUCAUCCGCAUCAGAAAUCUAGUUGGAAUCACUAUAUCCUUCCAAUGCAGAUGGAUAACCAGUAUAGUGAAUUCCAUAUUCGAUUGUACCUCUCAUGUAACGUAGCACUCUCUCUAGUGCCUCCCAAUGAUCCUUCCCUGGAUUGGAAGUUAAACGACUUAAUUUGCUCACAGCAAAAGAUAUGUCGAGACAUGUUGCACCAGCAAGAUACAAAAGGGACCCAAUUAUUUGUGAAUAUCUCAAAUGGUCCAUCCCUUCAUCUUUAUUUUUCCUUAGCUUUACACUAGCAUCGUAGGGUGUAGGGGAUACUUUUGCAUUUUCAAAGCAAAAGCGACAAAAUAAUUUUUUCACAUAAUGAGAUUGAUUUAGAAUAAUCCCAUUCUCAUUUUUGGUCAACUUAAUAUUUAGGAUAACACUUGCUUCUCCCAGAUCCUUCAUGUCGAAGCCUGAAGAUAAGAAUGAUUUGACCUUCAAGCCCACUGCACACCGAAUUCGAAGGUCGACAAGGCGCCAUAGCAAGAGAUUCAGCACAGCGAGUGGGAAGACGAGCGUGUAACAGCGUCCAUUCAACCAGGACAUCUCCUGGUGUUAUAGACCUUCGUAGUGCAUCAGUUUCCCCAUCAAACAGCCUCAUCAAGCAGUAGAAACUGCCAAUUUGAACGAUAGAAACGGCUUCCAUCAAAUUGUUGAAACUGACACACCUUAUUGCUGUUUAAAACGGCAAUUUCAAUCACAUUGAAUUGCCAUUAGGCUCAGCAUAAAAAAAAUAAUAACUGCACAAACAAUAGUCACAACUCACGCGAUUUUCCACGUGAAAAUGUGCGUGAGCUUCAUGUGCGUGUAGCAACAAUCUCCUUCUCUCUCAUUUGCAUCUAUUUUGCAUAGAGAGGAGACUCCCAUAUUUAAGCAAGGCAACCUCUCCUUGAAUUAGCAAUAUAAGACUAAAGGUUGUGUAUGCUUUGGAAUUUUCUAAUUGGGCCACAUAUGGGCCUAAAUCCAAGACGGUGAAGGUUCUUCUAUCUCAACUCAAGGUGACGUUUAUAGCCUCGGCAUAUUGCUUCUUGAGAUGUUUACUGGAAGGAGCCCAACGGAUGAGAUGAGAUAUUCAAUGAUUCUUUGGAUUUGCACAAGUUUUCAGCGAAUGCUCUUCCAGAGAGAAAACGGGAUAUAGUUGAUCCGACAAUAUGGAUGCACACAGAUGCCUAUAACAGCACUAUAAGAAGUGGAAUUAAGAAUUGCUUGCUUUCUGUUGUUUGUCUUGAAAUAUCAUGCUCGAAGAAACAACCUAGGGAGCAGAUCCCGAUUCAGGAUGCAGCCAUUGAGAUGCACGCUAUUAGAGAUUCGUAUCUCAAGUUUGCCAGAUCUCUUUUGGUGGAGCAUGGAGUAGUAGCAACAACUCACAGUGAUUUCCCACAACAGUGAAUACAUAGGACUGAAAAUGGGCAAGAUGUUGCAGGUGAUCAGUUUACCUGAAAUAACUGAAGAUGUAUGAAGCUUCAGCUUUAUAAUUCGUCCAUGCAUUUGUUUGCAUCAGAUAUAUGGAAGUAUAAAAUAAGUUUAGAAAAUGUUUCAAAAUAGAUUAGAUCCAGAGGUUUUACUUGUCGUCUGUAUGACACAUUUUUUGUAGAGAAUUCAGUAAUAUGUAUGAUUCAUAAUACAAUCAAUGCUCUACAAAUUUCAAUAGCACAAUUGGAAUAAAAAGCUCAUUCAUUGAUUAUGUUGCUCUAGGUAACUCAACUUAUUGUGAUGUUCACUGUAGAUUUCUCCAUGGUCCAAACGACCUUUGUGAUCAGUUAUGUUUAUGCAUUUUGUAGAAUUGUAAAGUCUUUCCCUAACCUGCUGACGUAUCAGCCGGAGCAUGAGAAGGGGGUGCACCAAAUAUGGGAUGAGAUGGAGAGGAGUGAAUCAGGCCCAGAUCAACGAUCAUUUACUAUUAUGGUUUAUGGUCUUCAUUCCCAAGAAAAGCUUGAUGAGGCUCUGCAAUAUUACACAACAAUGAAGUCAAGAGGGUUGAUCCCUGAACCAAGGACCAAGAUACUGGUGAAAGCUAUACAUAUGAAGAAAGAUGGGGCUGUCACAGAAGAUCAGUCUGCAAAUAUGACAGGGAAGAAUCUAAAACUGGAUCCACGAUCUAGCCUAUUCCAUGUUCAUAAAUAGUUUGCUGUCAGAUCUUACUUCUAUAACCUCAACAGAGGAUUGCUGGGCACGUAUUAUGUGUCAAAAGAAUCUCUUCUACCAGUGUCCAGAUCACAAUGGCCACACCUUGGGCUACAAUAAAUCAUCAGAAAAGUGUAUUGGCAUCAUGUAUCCCAGAAAGUUUUGCUCAGACUUUCAAUGCCAGGGUAUGUUUUUCAUGUCUGAUAUGGAUCAAUUAUAUUGCAAGUACUGUAUUACACGCUCGUAUUAUGAAGGUUAUGUGAAAUAUGACAGAUGUUUGUUUAUUCAUCUGUUAUGCAUGGCUGUGUCUACUGUCUAGCUGUUGGCUUGUUGCCAACAUAUGCAGCAGCAGGUAGCUUCAGCCGCUCAGAAGCCCAAAUGAAGGAUGGCCCAGGCAGAAUAGCUAUGUCUAGACCCAGAAAGCUUAGGACAUGUCUUGCCAGCCUGCAGUUUUGUACUCGUAGCACCAACCAUCUCCGGGUUCUGGCCGGUUAUAUACAUGGUCUGGACUCUGGAAUGGGCAUCCGCUGAUCGAUUGAAACCUUGAGCUGCUUCCGUGUUUGUCUUUUACCAUCUAUAUAUUAUGGUUAGUCAACGGCAUGCAGUACACCCAUGCAUAUGAUUGCAGUAGGAUGACAUGGCGCGACCAGAACCCUUCUUUUGCCAGUUUUAGAUUCUUAUACACGGCCAACUGACGCAGCAGGGAGUUGCAUGCUAAGCAGUUCAGCGUAGGUGGUGAGUUCUCAACUCUGAUAUGGCUUAUGGAAGAACACUGUCACGGUGUUACCUAGCCGGUUGGAGGCCAACCUCUUACUAGGGACAGCAAUGGCCCUGUCCGGCCACUGUUUCGUGGCUGGUAUUAUUACCCCUAUGCAGUGAAUAUGACAUGUGGAUCUAUGUGUAUAUUAUGUCGUCAAAAGAACAUUAUAUGAACCGUUGAUCCACCUUUGAUUCUAUUAAUGUGUCAUGGUCAAUUGAUGUCAAACUCUAUUAUCUUCAAGUCUUAUUGUAUUGAUAAAAUCACGAUGCUGCUACUGCCAUUUUGAUGUUUAUAAAAGGGUAUUGAGAACCUGGUGGGUAUCCAUUGGAUGCGCAGGGUUGAUGGUGGGGAAAAAUGAGUGUAAAGGACAGGGAUGCAGUAUUUAGAAAGAUGGGGCUGCCACAGAAAAUAGUCUCCAAGUAUGGCAGGGAAGAAUCUAAAACUGAAUCCUUGAUCAAGACUGUCCCAUAUUCAUAAAUAGUUCACUGACAGAUCUUGCUUCCAUAUUCUGAACAGCUGAUGCUGGGCACAUAGGAGGUUAACCGGUCAGCGGAUCAAAGAAAAUCCACAAUGGCCUCAUCUUGGGUUAGAGACAAUCAUCGGUAAAGAAUCAUAUUGCCGGAUAAGGAUAUCUGUGAUUGGUGGGUGCAGAUCCAUGCUCAUUCAAGAAACACAUGAUUCUUUACGGAUGAUCAUCUCUCAGCACACCCUGCUGAUAAGGUUAUCUGAGAUUGGUGGGUGCAGAUCCUAGAAACAAGCUAGGGCUGAAUGCGCCGCUGUACUUGGAUGUUGUGGUGACACCGUAAUGAUUGUGUGUUUAACGGAGUUUCCCAUAGUGACUAGCGUGCAGGCCGUCCUCGUAUUUGAGAAAAAAAUCAAUGGGCGAAAUGUUUUCACCCAGGUAAUUGUUGCAUUGUAUGAAUAGGCUUAGAUACCUGGUUACUGUGACACAAGAAGAUUUAUCAUAUCUAUCUAUGAAUUAGUGUUAAAUCUCCUACAUAAAUAUCUUCUCUUAUCUCACUUUAUGUAUAUAUAUGACACAGAAGCACAUGUAUAUCGGCAUUGUAGAGAUAGAGAUGAGAGAGAAGCUUAUCUGCUUUUUGGAGAUAAAUAUUCAAAUUACUAGUGUAUGAGAGGGAUAGAAUUAUUCUAUCAUAUUGUUUAUUCAACAUCUAAAAAGAUUCCAUGUUUAGUCAUCUAUAUCGGCGUUGUAGAGAGAGAGACUAGUGUUCAUCUGGUUGGAAGGAUGAGAGAGAGAGGAGAGAGUUUGGAUGAGAUAGAGAGAUAGUGUUCAGCUGGUUGGAAGGAUGAGAGAGAGAGAGAGGAGAGUUUGGAUGAUAGAGAGAUUAGUGUUCACUUGGUUGGAAGGAUGAGAGGGAGAUGAGAGAGUUCGGAUGAGGAGGUAGAGAGUUCGGAAGAGAGAGAGAGGUGAGAGUUCGGAUGAGAGGUGUGAGAGAGGUGAGAGUUCGGAUGAGAGAUAAAGUAGCUUAUAAGGAUGAGAGAGAGAAAGCGGUAUUCAGCUGGAUGGUGGAGACUUCAUAUAUUACUAAUAAUGCAUCCAAACAACAUUUAAAAUUUAAUUCUAAGAAAAACUUUCUCGGUAAAUCAAAACAAGAAAAUUCAAUUGAAUCAAAUUCUACGGAAUCCAUUUCCUAUGAAAUCUAAUUGCUAGAAUAUGAUUCAUGGAAUGAGUUCCAAUUCUAGAGAUCCAAACGGGCCCUAAGAGAAUUGUAGUGAUCAACUCCCAAGUUGCAAUAUAUCCUAGGAAAUAGGUGGUUAUGAGGAUGAUACCUGCAGACAAUACUUUUAAUCCCUCAAUUCUUACAGAGAAUUGCACUAUCAACUGCAUUUUCAUUUGUGCCACGCUGCUCAGCUAUAAAAAACGGGGCAAAUCGACCAAAAUAAAUGAAUAAACCACAUGGUUUAGACUGGUGGCAUAUGUAUGUCUGAUGAGUUUAGAAUCCCAACAGACCUCUGUUUGCUUAUCCAACAGGAGGGAAAAAGUUUACUUACUAAAUCAGCUUUGCAUGUCAGGCUGCAAUUGUUAGAGAGUAGAAUUGGGUAAUUUGUGAACAUAAUUGAAUCAAAGUUUUGUCUCAGACUAGUAAUAGAAAAUGGUGAUGCUCCAUAGCUAGAACAACACGUUCCUACACUAGUUUAAAAAAUCCCCUGAAAUUGGGAACAAUGGUCAAGCCCAAACCAUACUUGGAACUUGGAAGGCCGCUGGCGGAUGUCAAAGUCAAAAACAGAAGCAGACAGCGACGUCUCACCAGAUCACGAAUCAGAUGCGAUGCAUAUACAUGUUGCAGGCAUUAGCACGCAUCCCUUAGGAUUAAACAAUUCAGCAAGUAGCUCCCCUGCUGACCAAGAAAAGCAAGCUCUGUCUCGCAGCAAGCUCUUCAAUACGCUCCAGCCCAGCUCUACCAUGGCAUUGGCAAUGCGCGUCAUGAGCUUGCUUCCUGCCACCAUCGCCGUGAUGAUCGCAGCGGCCUCCUGGGGAGCGCACGGCGGUGCCAGCGACGAGGCCAGCGCGCUGCUUGCUUUCAAGGCUGAGCUCGCCGGCAGCGGCUCCGGCAUGCUUGCAUCCUGGAAUGGCACCGCUGGCGUCUGCAGCUGGGAGGGCGUGGCGUGCACCAGCGGCCAGGUGGUGGCACUGAGCCUGCCCUCUUAUGGGUUCGCCGGAGCCCUCUCCCCGGCCAUUGGGAACCUCACUUUCCUGCGGACCCUGAACCUGAGUUCCAACUGGUUCCAGGGGGAGGUCCCAGCAAGCAUCGGCCGCCUAGCGCGUCUGCAGACGCUUGAUCUGAGCUACAAUGCGUUCUCUGGUACGCUUCCUUCCAACCUCAGUUCCUGUGUCAGCUUACUGCUGUUAGAUCUCAGCAGUAACCGGUUCCAUGGGCGUAUCCCUGUUGAGCUUGGAGACAAGCUAACAAGUCUUCAGAAGUUCUCACUGGGCAACAACAGCUUGACGGGUGCCAUGCCAGGAUUACUAGGUAACCUGUCAUCCCUGAACUACCUUGAUCUGAGAAAAAACCACCUCGAGGGUCCGAUCCCACAUGAACUCGGCAGCAUGGGCGGCCUGCAGGUCCUUUUACUCCAUGACAACAGACUCUCCGGUGUGCUUCCACACUCCCUGUACAAUCUGUCCUCACUGAAAAAGUUGGGGGUAGGAGACAACAUGCUGUCUGGAACCAUCCCUGCUGAUAUCGGCGAUAGGUUCCCCGGUAUGGAAGCUCUUGACUUUUCUAGCAACCGAUUCAGUGGAGCUAUCCCACCUUCGCUCGGCAACCUCUCUGCUCUCACAAAACUAGUCCUUCAAGAAAAUGGUUUUAUUGGAUAUGUGCCUUCUGCUUUGGGAAAGUUGCAAAGUCUUACUGCCCUUUUCUUGGGUGUUAACAGGCUAGGAGCAAACGACAGUCAAGGGUGGGAAUUCAUCACUUCACUGGCAAACAGCUCCCAGCUUCAGGUUCUUGUUCUCGGCAACAACUCUUUCAGCGGGCAACUGCCUAAUUCAGUCACAAACCUGUCAUCAACUCUGCAAGGUCUUUAUUUGGGAGACAAUAUGAUUUCUGGGAAUAUUCCAAUAAACAUCGGAAAUUUGGUUGGUCUUACAGUAUUUGUGAUGGGAAAUACUUCUGUAUCUGGACAGAUUCCAGAGAGCAUUGGUCAGCUAAGAAACUUGGGUGUGUUAGGCCUUUACAACACUAGCUUGUCAGGCCUCAUACCUUCGUCACUAGGAAAUCUUACACAGUUGAAUAGGCUUUAUGCAUACUAUGGAAACUUAGAGGGGCCAAUUCCAUCAAACUUGGGGAACUUAAAGAAUGUGUUUGUCUUUGAUCUCUCAACAAAUCGACUCAAUGGUUCAAUUCCUAUAGAGGUUUUAAAACUUCCUCAACUUUCCUGGUACUUAGACUUAUCAUAUAAUUCAUUAUCCGGGCCACUUCCAAUUGAGGUUGGUACCAUGGUGAAUCUUAACGAACUGAUUCUGUCUGGAAACAAGUUGUCAGGCACCAUACCAGCUAGUGUUGGGAACUGUAUAUCGUUGGUACGGCUGCUGCUCGAUAACAACUUAUUAGAAGGAAGCAUACCUCAAUCUCUGAAGAAUAUAAAAGGUCUUGCAUUACUGAACCUAACAAUGAAUAAGCUAUCUGGUAGUAUUCCUGAUGCCCUUGCUAGCAUUGGCCACCUGCAACAACUGUAUCUUGCACACAACAACUUGUCAGGUUCCAUCCCCAAAGUUCUACAGAAUUUGACAUUGUUGGCAAAACUGGAUUUGUCCUUCAAUGAUCUGCAAGGCGAAGUGCCAAAAGGGGGUCCUUUUGCAAAUGCAACUCACUUGUCAAUUGAUGGAAAUGAUGAGCUUUGUGGCGGAAACCCUCAACUUCAUUUAGCUCCGUGCUCCACAGCAGCUGCGGAGAAGAACAGAAGGCGAAUGUCAAGGUCACUUAUGGUCACCGUAGCGUCAAUCUGCGCACUUCUAUUCUUAGGUUUAGUAGUUUGUCUUAUCCAUUUGAUCCACAAGAGGCUCAGACAAGGAAAGGAAAAUCAACUCAUUCCCACAGUAAUUGAUGAACAGCACGAAAGGGUUUCAUAUCAAGCAUUAGCAAAUGGGACUGACCAUUUUUCGCAGGUUAAUCUGCUCGGACAAGGAAGCUAUGGUGCAGUUUAUAAGUGCACUUUACAAGACAAGGGAAUUACCGCAGCUGUAAAGGUAUUCAACGUGUGGCAAUCUGGGUCUACUAGAAGUUUUGUGGCUGAAUGUGAGGCACUGCGAAGGGUGCGCCACCGAUGUCUCAUAAAGAUCAUCACCUGUUGCUUAAGCAUUGAUCACCAAGGCCAAGAAUUCAAGGCACUGGUUUUUGAGUUCAUGCCCAAUGGUAACCUAAAUGGUUGGCUGCAUCGAGCAUCCAAAAUACAGAGUCUGAGCAAUACGCUCAGCUUAGCUCAGAGACUGGACAUUGCGGUAGAUAUCAUGGAUGCUUUGGAUUAUCUUCACAAUCAGUGUCAACCGCCUAUUAUCCAUUGUGAUCUCAAACCAAGUAACAUCCUCCUUGCCGAAAGUAUGAGUGCUCGGGUUGGAGAUUUCGGCAUAUCAAAAAUCCUUCCUGAUGACACUAGCAAAACUAUGCUGAAUUCGGUUAGCUUCACUGGACUAAGAGGUUCCAUUGGAUACGUCGCUCCAGGUAACAGAAACUAACACUGAUAUUGCUAUGUUCAGUUUUUAACUUCCAUUUUGCCAAGUCCAGUUAUCUCGGCAUGAAUCGUUCGUAAGUAGCUUGCCAUGAAUCCACUGACCAAAUAGUUUCUGAAAUCUCAAUUGACUGCAGAGUACGGCGAGGGUCGCGCCGUCUCAACUCUUGGAGAUGUUUACAGCCUCGGCAUACUGUUGCUUGAGAUGUUCACCGGGAUGAGCCCUACUGACGACAUGUUCAAAGGCUCCUUGGACCUUCAUAAGUUCGCCGAGGCCGCUCUCCCCGACAGAGCCUUGAAGGUAGCCGACCCGGCAAUCUGGCUUCAUGAAGAAGCAAAGGGGGAAGACCCGGCCACGGUGAGAAGCAGAAGCGAGAGGUGCUUGGCUUCAGUGGUCGGGCUUGGCGUGUCCUGCUCAAAGCAGCUGCCAAGGGAGCGGACGGCGAUGCGGGAUGCUGCCGCUGAGAUGCGUGCGAUCAGAGAUGCCUUCCUGGUUCAAUGUGCAACAGAGACUUGGCCUGCAGUCGGCACCAGCGGCCUUGGAAGCACAGACACUUGAAUGGUGGACGGAGCUACGGUCUCUUGACGCACCAAGGAGCCACCGGACUAGCUGCUCUGCAACUAACAGGGUGGAGAAAGCGCCCCUUAAUGAAAAGAAAAACAGCCGGUGCAAGGCUUUAUACGGAGGGGUGUUUGGAUCCCCGGACUAAAUUUUAGUUCCUGUCACAUUGUCCAUCGAAUAUUUCGAUACUAAUUAGGUCUAUUAAACAUAGACUAUUUACAAAAUCCAUUACAUAGAUGGAGGUUAAACGGCGAGACGAAUCUAUUAAGCCUAAUUAGUCCAUGAUUUGACAAUGUGCUGCUACAGUAACCAUUUGCUAACGAUGGAUUAAUUAGGCUUAAUAAAUUCGUCUCACCGUUUAGCCUCCAUCUGUGUAAUUAGUUUUAUAAUUAACUCAUAUUUAAUCCUCCUAAUUAGUCUUCGAAUAUUCGAUGUGACACGGACUAAACUUUAGCUCCAGGAUCCAAACAUCCCCAAAGAAUGUGACAGCCACUGCGUGUAUCCGAGAGCCUUAUCUAAUCUACCAAUGAUUGUUGUGUAUGGAUGCAUAUAGAUUAUGCACGAACUCCCUCCGUCCCAAAAAAAUGUACUACUAUUUAUAAUGUAUAAUAAGUAUCAUUAGAUUGAGUAUUGAGUAUACUUUCCUAAUACAUUUAUUUGAAGAUACAAAUGUUGAUACUAUUUUCUAUAUUCUUAGUCAAAUUUAAAAACGUUGACUCCUCGAAAAGUGAGAUGUGUGUUUAUUUUGGGACGGAGGGAGUACCCGGGGAUUAGUCACGAUACAAGUAGGGAUUAGCAAGCACCAAAACCUCAUUCAUUGCCCUUCGAUCGCUCAAAUAAAAGCAACCAUUGCAUAUGGUGGCGAUGCGCUUGCGGGCCUUUCUCCAACCUUCAUUCUCCAACCUCUCUGCUCUCGCGGGCCUUGAACUCGCAUGGAACAGUUUUAGUGGAAACGUACCCCAACUUUGAAGAGAUUGCAAAGCCUCAUUUUACCUAUCCUUAAGUGGCAAUAAGCUAGGAUCGAAUGAUAAGGACGGAUUGGAAUUCAUCACCAUGCUGGCAAACUGCAGCCAGCUCCAGCAACUGGCUUUUGACAAUAGUUCAUUCAUCGGGGAACUUCCUACUCAAUUGCAAAUCUAUCGACAACACUCCAAUUGCUCUGUAUAGGAAACAAUUGGAUUUCGGGAUUUAUUCCAUCCAGCAUCGGUAAUUUGGUUGGUCUAGAACUGCUUACGUUGGCAAAUACUUUCAUAUCCGUGAAGGAUCGAAACUGGCGACCAGAGGGGGGUGAAUGGGAGCCUCACAAAAAUUCGCGGAAGCAAUUUGAGUAAAAUUAGAAUAAAAUUUAUUUGCAAUUUCCAACACAGAUAAAAAGACAGGGGUAAGCAAAAAGCUAAAUCACGUGAUAAAGACCCACUAAACAAAAUAUUAAACAAAAGAGCAUAUGGUUGCAAAAAGGUUGUUUACUGUUCAUAGAAAGUGACCUCACCUUCCCUGGUGCAUGCGUGAGUGAUGUUUCUAGAAACAAUAUUAAUGUGUAAUAUUGAAAGUGCUAAUGAGAAGGAAAUUUGCAAAGCAGAGACACGACCUGCAAGUCACCUGCAGGCACAUGCGUGCGCUGUUCGGAAGCAGAACGCUGUUCCUGGCCGGUCACCUCCCUUGUACGGGGCACACACAGUAAAAUCCAGAGACGUGCGCUUCAGUAGAGCAGGCAGCGUACGAACUAAUCAUACGAGCUCAUCGGCGGCUGGCCCUGGUGCGACGCUGCGAGCCGUGGCUGACCGCCAGGAGCAGACCUUGUCCUCCCGCAACGAUGUGUCCCUGAACAGCAAAACGGGAACAACCAAACCGGCGGCGCAAACAACGAAAACAAAGGGAACGGAGGAAAAUCGGAUCUCGCACGAACAAAGAACAAAUCACAAGGACGAAUGAUUAAAGUGUAAUUAUUCUACAAAAGUGCAUCUAGCCUCCGCCCGAUCGUCCUCCCUCUCUUCAUUGGAGAGAUCAACAAAAAUCCCUCGCUAGUAUUGAAACCCUAGGCUAGACAAAAAGCGAGAAAGCAAGAGAACCCUCUCAACCCUAGGUGCCACAUAUUUAUAUCCUUAGGGUGGCACGACCUAUUUACACAUAACCCCCUACGCUAAAUAAAUCUAACGUAGGGGCGUAAAUUCCAAUUACGUCCUCCAUGGUAAAUUCCGCGAUGUCCGCAAUCCCUCCAUCUCUACGACGUGAUCUUCGCGAUGUCGCCGCACGACCAUCCGAAAUCGUAUCGCGAUCGUCGGAAUUUCCAUCUUGGGCCAACGCCUGUCGCACGGGCGUCCCGAUACGAUGCAUGGCUUUGUGGCUCAACCAGCGAACCCCGGAUUUUGUGGCAUAAUCCGGAAACCUCCCUCGACGUCCUCCCGCCGUGUAGCCAGGUACAGUAGAUGUAUACCGCACGAUCGCCUGUCCCUCGAACGCAAGCCUCGAUCCGCCCUUCUCCGCCCCCGCGGUUUUUCAACGUGGCAUCCUAUCUUCGUUCUUCACUCGUCGCCGCAUGUACCUUGUCUCCACCUGUCACCUGCAACCACAACCUACCAAGAGACACGUCACACGCACACCGUGUUAUCAAUCGCUCAUCACCAAGGUGCUAGCCCACCGGCAUCUCAAUCUCCCCCUUGAUGAGUGCAUUGACAACACCACACCGCACAAAUUUAUUCGUACGGAAAAAGAAAAAUAAAAAGAAAGAAAAAGAAACGAUCUUAAUCCCCAAAGACAUGGGCUAGCGAAAAAGCUAGGCUCGACACAAUAAAGACAGAAAUUCACUCUCCCCAAAGUGAAUCAAAAGCCAUAUCAAUCUCCCAAAAGCAAUCUCAGCAGCAAAACUCACAAAUUUCAGCAAAACUCCCCCUACAAGAAUGAACGAACUUCCCCAGCAAGAAUGAAGUUGUGCGCUACUCACUCUCCCCCUUGUUGACAAAGCACUCCAUCAAGAUAAAAGGCAAGGAACCAAUUUAGAGAAAAGCAUGUGAGAAAGCACAAGUUGAAGCUUCUGAGACAUAUGCCAAAUACUUAUAAAAGAACAACACUAGCUAUCCAGAGAAGGAACAAUACAAUGCCAUGACCAAUAAAAAUUUAGAACUGAAAUCUGUUUGAAAACUAAUGUGCCAGGCAAAAACGUGCACAUUCCAAACUCAGUGCAAAGCUGAAGACAAAACAUAUAGCAAGCUCACACGACAGAUACACAGCUUCAGUCCAAGUUCACUGCAACGCCCACAAAUGCAUUCACUUGUCAUAUUUAAUUCUAACUUUUGUGAGCAUGAUAAGCAGGGACAUGGGAAGCAAGAGUUGUGCCCAGCCAGUUUGUUUAAUUUUGUUUAUGAGCGAGAACCAGCAGGGACAUGGGAAAAACAGAGUUGCACCCAUAUUUAAAUUCUGAGUAAGGCAAGCAGAUCAUGAGCUAAAUAGCAGAGAUAUGGGAAUUCAGAGUUUUUGCUCACAACCAUACUAUGUACUCCCGAGUUAAAACUUGUAUUGUGAGUUACAUUUGCAGUGAAAACCCAUUAAAAGAAGCUGACUACCGAACCAUGAGCAAGAUAUAUGUCAAGUAUUCAACAAGUCACUAGAUCCAGAAAAGCAAACAUAGCCCAACAUAAUUUUUUAAGUAUAUAUCUGUGCUUUUUUUAAAAUAAAAAUUGGUCAAGCAAAGCAUUCAAACCUCUCCAAAAGCAUCGAUUGCAAACUAGCCAAAACAAGUAUAAAGCAUAUGUAACUGAAGCAACUUACAAUGAUACUAGAAUGGGUAACACACCCCGAACUCACCACGCAGACGUGCAAACGUGGUUUGAUCUAGUGGCUUAGUCAAAAUAUCAGCAAGUUGCUGACUAGUAUCAAUAUGCUUAAGAUCAAUAUCACCCUUUUCAAAAUGAUCCCUCAGAAAAUGAUGACGAACCUCAAUGUGUUUCGUCUUAGAGUGAAGCACAGGAUUCUUUGCAACACUUAUAGCGCUAGUGCUGUCACACAAGAGAGGAACGCGAGAAAACGACAAACCAAAAUCGCGAAGGGUAGCUAUCAUCCAUAAAAGCUGAGAACAACAACUAGCAGCAGCAACAUACUCAGCCUCUGUAGUAGAUUGAGCAACAUUAGAUUGUUUUCUAGAGGACCAAGAAACAAGCGAAGAACCCAAAAAUUGGCAAGUACCCGAUGUAGACUUUCUAUCCAAACGACACCCAGCAAAAUCAGCAUCCGAAUAACCACACAAACUGAGAGUCGAAGCAGCAGAGUACCAAAGGCCAAAUGCAGGAGUAAAUCGGAGAUACCUCAUUAUGCGCUUCACCGCCUGACGGUGAGAAGUCCUGGGGGACGCCUGAAAACGAGCACACAUACACACAGCAAAGUGUAUAUCUGGCCUCGUAGCAGUCAAGUACAGCAGCGACCCAAUCAUGCUUCGAUAUUCCUUCUGAUCUACAGGCUCUCCGUCCUCAUCAGCAUCCAAAGCUACGCUAGUCGGCAUGGGCGUAGAAAUUGGCUUCGCAUCAUCCAUCGCAAACUUCUUCAGGACAUCCUUCGUGUACUUUCCCUGAUGCACAAAUGUACCUUCCAAAGUUUGUUUUAUUUGUAAGCCAAGAAAGAAAUUCAGCUCGCCCAUCAUAGACAUCUCAAAUUCUUUGCUCAUCACAUCUACAAACUUUUUCACAAGAGCAUGAGAGGAACCACCGAAAAUGAUAUCAUCCACAUAAAUCUGAACUAUUAAAGUGUCAUUUCCUUGCCUGAGGAGAAAAAGAGUUUUAUCAACUGAACCCAUUUUGAACCCAUUUUUAAGCAAAAAAGUUUUCAAUCUAGCAUACCAAGCGCGAGGUGCUUGCUUCAAACCAUAUAAAGCCUUUUGCAACUGAAGAACACGAUCAGGAAAAUUGGGAUGUUCAAAACCAGGUGGUUGUUUAACAUAAACUUCUUCUUCUAUAAAACCGUUCAGAAAAGCACUUUUCACGUCCAUUUGAUAAAGCUUAUAACCACGUGAAGCAGCAAAUGCAAGCAAAAUACGAAUGGCUUCUAAACGAGCAACAGGAGCAAAAGUUUCACCAUAAUCAAUACCCUCUUUCUGAGAAAAGCCCUGAGCAACCAGCCUAGCUUUAUUUCUAACAACAUAACCAUCUUCCCCUUGUUUGUUCUUAAAGACCCAUUUAGUCCCAAUUGGUUUACAAGAGGGAGGAGGAUCAACCAAAACCCAAACCUGAUUCCGUUCAAAAUUUUCUAACUCCUCAUGCAUGGCAUUGACCCAGUUAGAAUCAGAUAAAGCAUGUCCAACAUCUCAGGGUUCAAAAAAGGCAACAAAAGCAGUAUGCGCAAAGACACAAUAAUUUUUAUUUUUCAUACCUUUGUUCCUUGUCGUGCGCUCAUCCAAAUUACCUAUUAUGUUCCUUGCAGGAUGACGAUUCUGAAUGUGUUGUGGUGCUGUACGUUCUGAAAUCGCCUCCCCCUCAACUGCAGCCGGCACCUGAUCAACAGUCGGUGAAGCUGCAGGCGCUGCUGUAGAUGUACGUGUCGACGACGGUCCAUCCUCCAAAGUGGUGGAGGGCGCCUGCUCAGACUGGGCGCCAGGCUCCCCCUGCAUCGCAGGCUGGGCGUCAUCGUCGUCGUCGUCGUUGCAUCCAUCUUCCUCUUUCUCAUCCUCAAAAAUAUCCUGCCCGAUCUCAUCAUCACCUGCACACUCAGAAGCAGAAGAAAAACAAGGCAUUGUCUCGUUGAAGGUGACCUCACAUGUCUCCUCGAUGCGGUUAGUAUCAAGAUUAAGCACACGGUAUGCUCGCCCUUGCAAGGCAUACCCCAAAAAUAACCCAUCAGAAGAACGCGAUUCAAAUUUAUCCAAAUUUCCCUUUUUCAAUAUAAAACACUUGCAGCCAAAGACUCGAAAGUGGAAAACUUUGGGAGGUCGACCAAAUCUCAACUCAUAAGAUGUUUUUCCCAGAAAAGCUCUCAGAAAAAUGCGAUUAGCAACAUAGCAAGCGGUGUUGAUCGCCUCAGCCCAAAAACGUCUAGGAGUUUUAUGUUCAUCAAGCAUUGUCCUAGCCAUCUCAACAAGCGUACGAUUUUUACGCUCAACAACACCAUUCUGGGGAGGAACGUAAGGUGAGGAAAACUGGUGAUCUAAACCUUGUUCUGAACAAAAAGCUUUCAUACGAGAAUUCUUGAAUUCCAUACCGUUGUCACUGCGAAUUGCUCUAACGGCAUUAUUUGACAACUCGUUUUUCAGCUUCAGAACAAGAUCAUGAACAUGUGAAAAAGCCUCAUCCUUAGAUUCCAAAAAGAACACCCAUGAAUAUCGAGAAAAAUCGUCCACAACGACGAGCACAUACCACUUCCCACCAGCGGACCGAACACGGGCUGGACCAACUGUGUCCAUAUGUAACAGCUCACCCGGUCGUCUUGUCAUCACCUGAGUCAUAGGUGCAUGAGAAGCAGCAACCAUUUUUCCAUGUUUGCAGGGAGCACAAACCAAAUCCUUCUCAAAUUUGAGUUUCGGUAAACCAGCAAUUAAAUUCAUGGAACUCAAGCGGCAAAGCAAAUCAAAGCUCAGGUGGCCCAAGCGACGAUGCCACUUUCAAAUAUCAGGGGAACCAUGAGCAACCAAACAACGAGUCUGUCCAAAAGAUUUAGAAAAAUCAACCUUAAAAACUCGUCCAAAGGGAGAAAUCUUGCAAACAAGGUCACCAGCAGAAUCAAGAACUCGCGAAUUGCCUUUCUUAAAACGCACUUCAAAAUCAUCUUCAAGGAGUUGCGAGACAGAAAGCAGAUUAUAAUGCAAAUUUUGUACCUUCGCGACAUCCUUUAGCAUGAAUUUUUCAGAUACAUUGAUGCAGCCAUGCGCCAAAACCUUACCUUUACUAUUAUCCCCGAAUGUAAUAUGUUCCUUACCACUCGCGGGGGUGAGGCUGGAGAACCAUCUGUCAUCUCCGGUCAUGUGGCGCGAACAACCGGAAUCCAUUAUCCAUAUGUUCUCCUCGCCUCCAUCCUGCAGUCAACAAUGAGCAUAAGAGUGAGCUAAUGACUCAACACUGGGGUUAGGAUAAUGCAGAGAAAACCAGUGCUGGGCCACUUGCUCAAAAGAGGCAUUAGCAAAAUCAAAACUCUCGAAAGAUUGACGAGAACCACGAGGGGGAAAAUGUAGCCUAUCAUUCCAGUGUGGUGCAGGAGCACGAGUAUAGCCUGUCAUUCCAGUGUGGUGCAGGAGCACGAGUAUGCGAGCGAAAACCAAAAGAACGACCAGCAAGCUUACGACCCAAAACAGGACGAUCAUGAGUACCACGUGCAGGGUACUGCUCACGUCUCUCAGCACGCUUCCGACGGAAGCAAAACUCAUAGAGAUGACCAUCAUGAUCACAAAAUUCACAAUGGUAAUGCUUAUGUGAAGGAGCAAAAGAAACCUUAGCCUUAGAACCAGAAGCAACAAAUUUAGGCUUAGGCAUAGCAGCAUGAACACAUGGAGAAUCAGAUGGCUUAACAUUCUGUGCAACAUUGAAGUGUUUAGGUUUAGGCACCCAAACCUGCUUUUUAGGAACCGAUCUGGAUGGUUCAACUAACAACCCCUCAGAUGUGACACCUGGACCCUCUUUCCUAGGAGGUGGUCCAGUUACUUAGCCAAAGGUGGAUUAAUUUCAUCCACAGGAGGUCCACUCUUUUCACCAAAAACAUGUUUCAAAUCGUAUCCAGGUCCAAAACGCUCAUCCCGUUUAAUUUGAGCAAUAGACAUACCUAUUUGAGGUUCACGAAUAGAGCACCAACCAAGAAUCACUCUCAAAUGUUUAUUUUCUUCUUCCAAAGCAGAAAACUUUACCCUCAAAUCAUUAUUUUCAGCAAAAAAAAGUAGUGCAAGUCAAACAGGGAGGCAAAACAGGACAAGAAUGUUUCUCCAACUCAGUAAUACGAGAUUUAGCAAGAUUCAAUUCAGAUUGCAGGAUUGGACAAGAAACACAAGCACCAAGUAAAGCAGAACCAGAGUGAAGUUUUUCCAACUCAAACUUAGCAUUUUCAAAUUUAUCAACAAUGGAGGCAUACUUAGAUUGCAACUCAGAAAGUGAAACCAUAUGCGCAGAGCACUCUUCACAUUCUACUUCAGCAGGAGUAGCAUCUUUUAAGACUUUUAAUUCAGAAUUGACUCUAUCAUACUCAGCCUUAAGUUUUACUAAAAUUUUAUUUUGUUUAUCAACAAUUUUUGUCAAUUCUUUAAUUUCUUCUUCUGCUGAAUUUUGUACCUCAUUGUCAGAAGAGUUGUCGCUGCGAUCAGAAGCCACAUCGUCAUCCAAGGCCAUGGUGCACAUCCCUCCCUUGAUGUCGGCGAGGAAGCAGAGUCCGUCAGUUUUCUUUUUGGGCAGCUCAUCCUCGGAGUCUGAAUCACUCGAGUUCGAAGAGGCAUCUGAAACAAAAUCACCAAGAGAAGAAAACAAAACAUGUGUAGCCUUUUUUAUUUGUUUAUCAGUGUACUUCUGGCCAUUCUUCUUCAUGCGCCUGUCACCCUUCUUUUUCUUCUUCUCCCUUGAUUGUUCCUGGCGCCUGGAGUUGUUGCCCUGCUCAAAUGUUCUCAUCUUGUUCGGGCAAUCAGCAGCAAAGUGGCCUUGCUCACCACAGCUGAAACAUCCUUCUGAGCGUCUUCUGUUGCGUCGGUUCUCAUAGACUCUCUUGAAUUUGUUGGAGAGCAGCACCAACUGAUCAUCAUCUAGCGCCUCCAACUCAUCAUCUGCAACAUGACAUAAAGAUGACAAAGCAAAGCUGGGAGAAACUGGAUUAGUGUUAAUGUUAGUCUUACUCCCAGAAACCAAAGCCAUAGGAACAUCAGAAGAAGAAACACCAGUGGGAUUUUUCAAUUUGCGCUUGGAGAGGACAUCAAUCUCUUUUGAUUUGAGCUUAUUGAAAAGCUCAUCAGUGGUAAGAGUCUCAUAGCCAGCGGACUCAACGAUCGCCUCUACUUUCAUAUCCCACUCAUCAAUAAGUGAAUGCAACAAUCUGAGAGCCCUUACAAGGUCAUCAUAAGGCAUAUCCUUAUUAAGGGCUCUCAUUUUGUUUACAAUCACUUGAAACCUUGCAAAAAGAUCUUUAAUGGAUUCACCAGGCAAUUGAGAAAAAGCAUCAAACUCUUUUCUGUGAAUUUCGAAUUUUCGUGUUUUCACAGCGUUGGAGCCUUCAUGAUAUUUCUUUAACUUAUCCCAAAUCUGAAAGGCUAGCUCCUCACUGGAAAUACGAUCAUACUCAGGUUUACAAAGAGAAGCUUGCAAAAUAUCAACUACCCGGUUAUUUGCCUCAAGAAGAGCAACAGCAGCAGGAUCAGUAGGGUCCUCUACAGGAAUCACAUAUGUAGAGUUUUGUAUGAUCCUCCACAGAUUCAUCCCCUUCCCCUUUAAAUAAGCUUUCAUACGCGACUGCCAAUAGUCAUAAUCAGUACCAUCAAAAUGCGGAGCGCGUGUAUUGUAUUUUUCGGCGGUCGCCAUGGUUUUCGUAACCGAUUAAGAUAUAGAAAACCUUAACCUGGCUCUGGUACCAAUUGAAGGACUGAAACUAGCGACCAGAGGGGGGGUGAAUGGGAGCCUCACAAAAAUUCGCGGAAGCAAUUUGAGUAAAAUCAGAAUAAAAUUUAUUUGCAAUUUCCAACACAGAUAAAAAGACAGGGGUAAGCAAAAAGCUAAAUCACGUGAUAAAGACCCACUAAACAAAAUAUUAAACAAAAGAGCACAUGGUUGCAAAAAGGUUGUUUACUGUUCCUAGAAAGUGACCUCACCUUCCCUGGUGCAUGCGUGAGUGAUGUUUCUAGAAACAAUAUUAAUGUGUAAUAUUGAAAGUGCUAAUGAGAAGGAAAUUUGCAAAGCAGAGACACGACCUGCAAGUCACCUGCAGGCACAUGCGUGCGCUGUUCGGAAGCAGAACGCUGUUCCUGGCCGGUCACCUCCCUUGUACGGGGCACACACAGUAAAAUCCAGAGACGUGCGCUUCAGUAGAGCAGGCAGCGUACGAACUAAUCGUACGAGCUCAUCGGCGGCUGGCCCUGGUGCGACGCUGCGAGCCGUGGCUGACCGCCAGGAGCAGACCUUGUCCUCCCGCAACGAUGUGUCCCUGAACAGCAAAACGGGAACAACCAAACCGGCGGCGCAAACAACGAAAACAAAGGGAACGGAGGAAAAUCGGAUCUCGCACGAACAAAGAACAAAUCACAAGGACGAAUGAUUAAAGUGUAAUUAUUCUACAAAAGUGCAUCUAGCCUCCGCCCGAUCGUCCUCCCUCUCUUCAUUGGAGAGAUCAACAAAAAUCCCUCGCUAGUAUUGAAUCCCUAGGCUAGACAAAAAGCGAGAAAGCAAGAGAACCCUCUCAACCCUAGGUGCCACAUAUUUAUAUCCUUAGGGUGGCACGACCUAUUUACACAUAACCCCCUACGCUAAAUAAAUCUAACGUAGGGGCGUAAAUUCCAAUUACGUCCUCCAUGGUAAAUUCCGCGAUGUCCGCAAUCCCUCCAUCUCUACGACGUGAUCUUCGCGAUGUCGCCGCACGACCAUCCGAAAUCGUAUCGCGAUCGUCGGAAUUUCCAUCUUGGGCCAACGCCUGUCGCACGGGCGUCCCGAUACGAUGCAUGGCUUUGUGGCUCAACCAGCGAACCCCGGAUUUUGUGGCAUAAUCCGGAAACCUCCCUCGACGUCCUCCCGCCGUGUAGCCAGGUACAGUAGAUGUACACCGCACGAUCGCCUGUCCCUCGAACGCAAGCCUCGAUCCGCCCUUCUCCGCCCCCGCGGUUUUUCAACGUGGUAUCCUAUCUUCGUUCUUCACUCGUCGCCGCAUGUACCUUGUCUCCACCUGUCACCUGCAACCACAACCUACCAAGAGACACGUCACACGCACACCGUGUUAUCAAUCGCUCAUCACCAAGGUGCUAGCCCACCGGCAUCUCAAUCUCCCCCUUGAUGAUUCCAGAUAGCAUUGGUCGCCUAAAAGACACGUCCGUGUUAGGCGUUUACUACACUAGCUUGUCAGGCAUCAUACCUUGAUCACAAGGAAAUCUUACACAGUUGAAAGCUCUCUGUGCGUACGAUAUAGCAACUUGGAGGGUUCAAUUCCAGCAAGCUUGGGGAACUUAAAGAAUCUUUUUAUCCUCGAUCUCGGUUUCAGGUCGAAGCAGAGCAUAAACCUUUCUCAAGACUACGAAGUUACCAUAGAGCAGAUCAGUAUGAGGGCCAGGCUAUACCCUAUCAACACCUCCCCUCUUGCCCUUUCGGUAAGAUUACCUCAAACUAUAGUCUUUAAUUAAUUAGCCAAGACCAGAGCCAUAUAGUUCCAAGUUUAAUCAUUGAGUUUAUUAAAACCAUCAUAACCCAAGGUAUUGCAACUAAGCAUAUCUACCCAACAAACAGGUAAAACCCAGGUUGACAAGGAAUGAUCAUAAAGAUUAGGUAAACCUUAAUAGGACCCAUCAAUAUUAGAUGCAGAGCAAUGCAAAAGUGAUUAAAUAUAGUUAUUGAGAUAAAAGCACAAGGACACACUUGCCUUUCUCCAAAGAAUAGCUGCUCAGAUUAUCUUCAGCUCUUGUUCCUUAAAGCUCUCGAACAACGUUCCUUCUACUUGCAUCAAUCAUCGGCACAAGCAUACAAAGCAAACAACAAUCAUAACUAAGAACAAUACAUCAAUCAUAGUAAAUCUUUAAAAGAGCGUACUAAAGGAUAAGGCUCGAAUCUAAGGUCAUGCUAACACAAGAAACGCUGGGAACGAAACUAUGGUUGAAAAGACAAAGCUAUCGAGAGAUUUGAAUUAUAAAAGAAAGAGAAGCCUAUGUGCUUCAUAUAUUUUAAUAAAGAAAAGAAUGUAAAUAUAUUUUAGAGAAACAUCCUUAGAAGGUUAUAUUUAUAUAUGAAAAGAUGAUGUAGAACUUAGUCAAAUUUUAUUUAUAAAUAUUCAAGUAAACAUUUAAUUUGAAAAUAAAGUAUAUGUAAACAUCAAGGCGCAUAGCUUUAUGAUUCAGGUUGAACUAACCAAAUAUAAUUCAAAAACAUAUUUAUAUUUAUAUUAGUCAAAUUAACAUAUAAUUAUGAAAACCAAAGAUGUAACUUAUGUAGCUUUUAUUUAGAAAACAAAUUGAAUAAACAUUAAUCAAUUUAAGUUUAAUUAUGAACCACCGUGGUGCAUCUCUAAUUCGCUUUUAAUUGAAAGAGUUAUUUAAAUAAGCAUUAAUAACUAAAUUAACAUUUAUUAUGAAAAGCGGUUAUAACACUAAGUAGCUUUUAAUUAAAGAAGACAUGUUUAACAUGCAUUAAUCAGAUUAAUAUUAAAUUUAUUUUAAAACAUGCAUGAUGGAAAGAUCACUACUAACAUGUAAUUUGUGUUAUCAUGAACCUAAGAAUGGAUAUAAACGGAGCUGUAACGAGGAGUCCAUGGGUUAAACAAGGUUGCAGGGCCUAAUCGCGAUUAACGAAAGGUUAUUGGGGCUAGCGAGGAAGAUUUACAAGACAUUGGAAUAGAGCUCACCAUUAGGUCAAAGCAUAGGGUUACAUCUGUUAAAGUGCGCAGGUUGGACUUGGUUGCACGGAUCCAAUAUAAUCAGGGACAUGGAUGAAAAUAAAUAAGACACAAGGAAAAACUAACUAUUUAAAGAGCUUCCAGGGGCCUAUGCACAGAAGCACCAUAGCUCAGCAUCCGGACGGGCUCCUAGACGGCAAAAUCAUCGUGUCAGAUUUAUAAGCCCAGCAAUGCACCAGGGGGUUACCCAAGUGGUUGAUUUGUAGGUGAGGGUGAUUGCGAAACCAAGAACUCAAAGGUGAUCGCGAGAACACGAAGCGACACGAAGGUUUUAGAUAGGUUCGGAUCUCCAGAGAGUAAUAUCCUACGUUCUGUAUGCUGGUGUGUAUUGCUUGAGAUUGAUCUGAUUGUUGGGAUGCCUUAUAAUGAAUCUAAUCUACUCGAUAGUUACAUAGAAAGUAAUAUGAGUUGGACAACAAUACGCGUUCCAUGAUAUUCGGGCAGAUUUGAACUGUCUUGUUGCCUUGACUUACACUCCAAGUAACUUCAUGCCCUUGGCCCGCACGCCCUGGUCGGGCGGGCCCUACUUGUCAGGUCCAUCUAGUAUCCUAGUUGAUGGGGGCUCAUGGGGUACCCAUAUCCCUCAAGCUCCCGAGCGAUGUGUAGGCGAACAGGAACUUGAGGUCAUCACAGCGAAACUUGAAAUGAAGUCGGCUGAAGCUGCGAAGGCGUCAUGGCGACGGAGAGACUGUGCAGUGCUCAAAAGAAGAAAAUUUGAGCAAACACAGAGCCAACGCAUAGAGCAAAGACGAGUGCUGAGUUGAUGGAUGCUGGCAUCUAGCAGGUCGGAGUGAAGGUUAUGGAGGGUGUCGCAAGACGCACUCCGUAGGAGUAGUCCCCAAGCAUUGAAGCGAUUAAGAUAAUCAGUACAAUGGUCAAAGAAGAAAAAAUUGUCUUCUGAAGCAGAUCCUAGUGCCUGAACACAAGGAUGGGCGCAGCCACAGAGGCCCGCCGACCAGAAGUAGGCACCCAGACCCAAGGACGAGGACUGGCAGGACCGCGGAGCCACGGCGACCUGAAAUAGGCACCCAACCCCCAAGAAUGAGGAGUAGCAGAGCUGCGGAGGCAUGCCGACCUGAAGUAGGUGCCCAGCCCCCGAGGACGAGGACUAGCGGAGCCAUGGAGGCAUACCGACUUGAAAUAGGCGCCCAGCCCCUGAGGACAAGGACUGGCAGGGCCACGGAGGCACGCCGAUAACAAUUAGGCGCCCAACCCUGAGCAUGAGUAUGAGGACUGGUGGAAGCACGUCGAGUCGCCUCCCGCCCUGAGCCGAGGCAGAGAGGUAGGCUGGGCGAUGGGAGGCACACCGAGUCAUCUGCGCCCACCAGCCGCCGAGUCUGGGAGCCGGACGAGUCACAGAAGCAUGCCAAGUCACCUCAUGCCCUGAGCCAGAGAGGUCAGCCGGGUGACGGGAGGCACGCCGUGUCGUCUGCGGUGCCCAGCACCCAAGCCUGGGAGCCGGCUGAGCCACAGAAGCACGCCAAGUCGCCUCCCGCCCUGAGCUAGAGAGGUUGGCCGGGUGAUGGGAGGCACGUCGAGUCGUCUGUGGCGCCCAAUCCCUGAACCUGGGAGCCGGACGAGCCACAGAAGCAUGCCAAGUCGCCUCCCGCCCCGAGCCAGAGAGGUUGGCCAGGUGUUGGGAGGCAUGCCGAGUAGUUUUUGAGCUGUAAAAGGACAAUACAAUCAUUAUGUAGCAUAGUGUAGAUCAUUCAAUAAUUUAACAACUCAGAAGUUUAAUUCGAUAUAGAAGUAAACUCUUGCGCAUCCUGCUAUUGUAGGUCAAGUAAUUUCCCAGGUAGUUAGCCUGUUACGUUUAAGCACCUAGCUUUGCUGACCACUGCUCACGGAGAGGACAGCUUAUCUCAGGCUAUAGCGUUGGGGCUGACCCGAUGCUCGCAUAUAGGAGACGCGCAUGAUGAGUCAAGGUUUCACGAAUUAAGGCGUGUGCUACUCGAGUACUUUAGCAACCGUUAAGAGGGACGGACAAGCCACAAAUCAGCCGGAACUCUACGGAAAAGCACCAGCAUGAGCUGGGCACCCAUGGGGUGUAGCCCUCGACCGCCCGUGUAGUGGACGGACCAAGCUGUAUAAGUAGUCGGGGUGCGAUCAAGGUGGUCGGUGAAAGUCACGGAGACAUAGGAGAGCCGAGGUGGUCGGCGAAAGUCACAGGGACAUGUAAGAGCCGAGGCAUAUGUAGGUAUACGGAAGCCGUAAAAUAUUUAAUUGUAAAUAAGACUUACCUUGAUUCAUGAUUGAGUCGGAGAACCCACAUGUCGUCUUCGCGUUUAGGCUUAGAAGCUCCUGAGCGUGGCCGGCGGACAGUUGUUGGUGAAGCAAACUAGUCGGUCUCCAUGCCCAACUAAUUUGUGUCGAGACUGAGUUGUUGGAGUUGUCAGGGACGCAUCUGUGGUUGCGAUCGUGGUAUGCUGCUGCCGAGUCGACGCGGCCGUCGGGUCGUGGUCGGCUGGCCGCCACGCUCGCAGUACAGCGUGCAUGGGUUGUGCUGCCAAACCAAGGGUGCAUGUACAUCUUUCCGAACCUCGUAAGGAAGCCCUCACGUAUUAAGGAAAUAAGAAAAAAAAUUAUUAGCUGCCGUAGUAAGCACCGAGCAACGUAGGAGAUCUACUGGAUAGAAUAGAUUAAAUAAUAAAGGGAAGGGAGAAUUGUUCCUUUUUUUUCCGUGGCAGAUCUGACGUGUCUGCAGGCAACAAGUUGGGGUCCACGUGUCGUGCUAAAUCAACCGGAGGCGUGGUGCUUGGCCUCCUGCGCCUCGCAAAUCUUCUGCAUCUGGAGCAUCCGCUCUAUGACGAGCUCGUACUGGCACUUCUCGUAGGCGUGGCACUCAGGCUCGCACUUCCAGGAGAGGUAGAACUCGGAGGUGCGCGCACUGGUCGUGGCAGGCGAGCAGCACCCGGGACUCCGCCAUCUCCACCUGCGUGAUGAUCUGGGGCUUCAAGGAGCCGAGCUGCACGCCGGCCGCUGCCGCCGCCUCCAUUUGUCACUUUCUUUCCCUCUCUCACCGGCGAGGUCAUUCUGUCGAUAGAUGGGUGCUGCGGGUUUGGUGCGGCGUGGGUAGGUGGGGUGUAGCAAGGACAUGGAGAGAGAUUGCAUACCUACUGGGCAAGCGGCAUGAUGGUCUUGGAUGGAGAACUUGCUCCAUCGGAGUAAAUCUGAUGGAUGCUGAGUUGACGACGGGCGUCGAGUCGAAGUCCACCGGCAUGCUCCCAAAGCGGAGCUGAAUUGGACUGGCGAGGAAUUCCUUCAUGCUCUUGGGGAAAACAAUGCCGGGGUGGGAUGCCAUCGAGCUCGCUGGGGAGGAUCUCAUAAUCACCUGUACCUGGCGUCCCAAUUGUCGGAUUUAUAAGCCCAGCAAUCCACCAGGGGGUUACCCAAGUGGUUGAUUUGUAGGUGAGAACGAUUGCGAAACCAAAAACUCAAAGGUGAUCGCGAGAACACAAAGGGACAUGAAGGUUUUAGACAGUUUCGGACCUCCGGAAAGUAAUACCCUACAUCCUGUAUGCUGGUUUGUAUUGUUUAAGAUUGAUCUGAUUGUUGGGAUACCCUCGGGGGUGCCCUUGGCCACUUUGUAUAGGCUAACGACCAAGAGGUGCAAGUUGGUUUGGAUCUAAUCUACUCGGUAGUUAAAUGGAAAGUAAUCUGAGUCGGACUACAAUACGCGUUCCAUGAUAUCCGGGCAGAUUUGAACUGUCUUGUUGCCUCGUCGUGCACUCCAAGUAACUUCAUAUCCUCGACCUGCACACCCUGAUCGGGCGGGUCCUACUUGUCAGGUCUGACCAGUAUGCUGGGGUACCCAUAUCCCUCACCUUGGUGCUCCGACAGUUAGGGUCGGCGGCAAGGAUGGGGAUUGGAAGCGGAGAUCGAGGGAACUUUAUGGAGAUGCUCACCGUUCCAUCCGGAAUUUGGCUAGCGGCGGAAGAACAUGGCAGCUAGCUCGGGUCUUUGCAAGUGACGGUACUUCAGUGGUGGAGCGGCAACGAAGAUUGGUGGCAGAGCUGCUCCUCGACGUCACGAAGCUCCCUGAGGCUCCAACUUGCUCCGAUAGUUGACGGGCACAGCGAAUCGGCCAGAGAAGGCCGGCGGCGGCUCUUGGCUUUGGCGGAUGUGGGGUAUGGCGGUGCUCUCGCAAGUUGGGAAGAGCGGCGGAGUGUGGCAGGGCAGCACCAGAGGCACUAUCUCGACUUUAUAGGCACGUGGGUCCACGCCUGCCUUGGCGCACACGCUGAGGUUCGGCGGUGGCGAUGCCUCAAGCUGCCGGUGGCCGAUGGGCCUAGCGGGCUUGGCUGAGCCAUCAGCUGGGCCGGGUCGGUGCGGGUUGGAUGGAGAGGUUCGGGCCCCAAAGGCUUGGCCCGAUCGAUUAGGAUUUUCCUUUUUUUCAGAAAUGAUUUCUCGUGAAUGAAAAAUCUAGAAAAAUUCUAGAUAAUUCAUUUAAACAACAAAAAAACUCUAAAAAUCCAAAAAUUCUAGGAAAAAUCCUAGAGAUAGUUUGGGGGGGGGGACAGGAGGAGUCCAAAUAAAAUACUUGGAGGGCGUGAAAAGGAUUCUAGAGCCUUUCAAAAAUUGGAUUUAGCUGUGGAAAAAAAUGAGAAUAAAUCUUAGAAAAAUAUGGAAAUUCUCAUAAGAACCUAAUUGGCAUCUAAACGUAUUUCAAAACCUUUGCACUCAUGAAAUACCAAGAUGCAUCGGCAUAAAUGCAACACAUACACAGAACCAUUGUAUUUAAUUCAGAAAACACAAUCUUUUUCCUAUACUAAAUUUCCUGUCAAGAAAAUAAAUAUUGGAAAAUUUUAAAAUUAUGAGAAAAUCAUUGUUUAAUUAUUCUUUUUAAUCACAUCCUGAAAUUUCAAAAAAUUUAGGGUCCAAAAUUCUUUUUACGGAAUUUGACAUUCAUGUCCAAAUUGGAUCUAUCCUUCAAUGAUCUGCAAAGUGAAGUGCCUAAAGGGUUUUUCUUGCAAAUGCAACUUACAUGUCGAUUUAUGGAAAUGAUCAGCUUUGUGGUCGAAUACCUCAACUUCAUUUAGCC